GUAGCAUCAAUAUUCAAGAUGGUUCUCCAAACUCAACUUGGGCUGAACAAGCACCAAUCCUACGCUCACGAACAAAACUACUAUUGCGAUAGCAGCCAUGGCGGCUCUAUGCAAAUGACAAGGCCUUCGGGCUAUUCGACCUUGCCAUAUGGUCAGUCCACUCACAACCACAUGAUGAUGGGUCAUGGUGGCCAACACCAUGGCGGACCCUAUGGCGGUCAUGGCCAUGGCCAUGGCGGACACUAUGGUAGUCAUGGACAUCAUGGGGCGCAUAUGCCCCAUGACUCCACCAACUUUUCAAGCAGCACCAAUAUGGUCCAUAGUGAUGGUGGCUAUGGAAGUGGAAUGGAACAAUCUACCCAUAUGGGCAUGGGGUCGACCAAUUAUCAAGGCCAUGGUUAUGGUGGCAGCCACCCUAGUCAGUACAGCCAGAGCCAGAAGCUCAACUGGGCACUUAAGGAUUUGGAGGAAUAAAUUUAUGAUAAAUUUUAUGCUAUCCUGUAUGGUGGAAGUAUGUGUGUGUGUUUUGGUAGUGGAUUUGCCUAUAUAUGUAGCAUAAAGAACUACUACCUGAAGAAAUAAUGUACUAAGCAGUCUGCUGGUUUGCUUGUUUAUCUAUGUAUCUACUUUAUCAUUACUAAAUGAUGAAUAAUUAUAAGUAUGUUUAUAACUAAAAUGAUUUGUGUGGUUCUAUUUAAAAGAAACGACACUCCAUUGGUAUUUCAUAGUGAAAGUACAGCAUGAGUAAUAGCUAUUUUGUAUAUAUAUAUAUAUAUAAAUANNNNNNNNNNNNNNNNNNNNNNNNNNNNNNNNNNNNNNNNNNNNNNNNNNNNNNNNNNNNNNNNNNNNNNNNNNNNNNNNNNNNNNNNNNNNNNNNNNNNNNNNNNNNNNNNNNNNNNNNNNNNNNNNNNNNNNNNNNNNNNNNNNNNNNNNNNNNNNNNNNNNNNNNNNNNNNNNNNNNNNNNNNNNNNNNNNNNNNNNNNNNNNNNNNNNNNNNNNNNNNNNNNNNNNNNNNNNNNNNNNNNNNNNNNNNNNNNNNNNNNNNNNNNNNNNNNNNNNNNNNNNNNNNNNNNNNNNNNNNNNNNNNNNNNNNNNNNNNNNNNNNNNNNNNNNNNNNNNNNNNNNNNNNNNNNNNNNNNNNNNNNNNNNNNNNNNNNNNNNNNNNNNNNNNNNNNNNNNNNNNNNNNNNNNNNNNNNNNNNNNNNNNNNNNNNNNNNNNNNNNNNNNNNNNAUAUAUAUAUAUAUAUAUAUAUAUAUAUAUAUAUAUAUAAAUUCACUGGCACACUCUUACUACCACCCCGAAACAAAUUCAACCAGUGUUGUUUUCACAUUUUCACUACUUUUUGCACUUUUUCUCUGCCCUCUCUCUCACUCUCUUCUAACCAGCCCCCCUCCCUCAGCCAAACUGAAAACGAACAGAACCAUGUUUCAGAUGGUAUAAAAUCUAAGAUCAUGAAAUGACUGUAGUAAUUCAGAUGGUCAUACAAUUCCUAAAAUUGGGUAUACAUCGUUCUAUCACAACUGGAAAAUGGUCCAUUACAUCCGUUACAUCCGCUCGAAUGCCAAUAGAUCUAGAGGAACGGCUCUUGCGACAGUUGACCACACCGUUGUUAUAGGGCCAGCUAUCACAACGGUUUUUCCUCUGUCUGAAACAACGAAUAUUCAUUUCAAGUGCAACGAUUUAAAACCAUUACCAUAGAGUUUAAUGCAACGAUUGUAAACUGUCACCAUAUUAUUUGCUACAAUGAUCGCAAGCCAUUAACAUAGAAUUCAUUUCAAUGGUUAUGUAAGUUAUUGCGACGUUUAUUUACAGAUAUUCUAACGGCUUCGUUAAGCUACUGUAACAAUUUUAUUUCUAUCACAUCGGUUUGUCACACUUUUUUGAAUUGUUUGCAAGAACUAUUGGAACAAUUUAGAUUGUCUAUGGUAACAAAAUUUGUGCUUAUUGCGACGAUUCUAUUAGGCUAUUGUAUUAGUUGAAUUGACAUUAUUGCCCUAGUUGUAAAUAAUAUUUACAUAUGUAAAUAUUUGUAAUAACCUGAAAAUUAUAUAUAUAAAAAAACAAAAUACUUCAUAAUCUAUAUUGUCUAGUAAGCUAAUAAUAACUAUAACAGAAAAAUAUCUUAACCCAAUCACAUAAGUUUUGCAGUUCAAUGCUUCAAAAGUUAAAGUUUCAAAUGUUGAUAACAAAAGAUUCCUAGAACAUCGACAAUCAUUUAAAGUUCUUUUUAAGCAAGGUCUAGAUCUUCAAUGUCUUCAUCUUUCAUUUCUUCAGUUGCUCCACCUACAAAAGAGGAUAAAUAAAGUCAUUACCCUUCAAGGGUUGCUUUACCAUUAUAAGAAUGGGUAUAGUCUAUGAACAAUGCAUAAAGUAAAAUAUUCUCAGGAAAAGAAACAAGUUCACACAAAUGAGAAGCCAAAGUUUAGUAAAAAAUCUAAAUCAUCAAAACCAAACUUAUAAACAUAAGCAACAACAAUAAGAAGAACCUAGUAUGAUCCUACAAGUGAGGCAUGAGGAAGGUAAUAUGUACGCAUACCUUACCCCUACCCCGAGGGGCAGAGAGGUCGUUUCCAGGAGACCCUCAGCUCAAGACAACAAUAAAAGAUGAUAUAUCAGUACUAUCCAUAAACUCAUACUAAAAUUACUUAAAAAUACAUAACAUAACAAUAAAAUAACAAAAUAGCAGUAAUAUAGGAAAUAGAGGAAAUACGAAAAGGAUGGGAGAUGUACUAAUAUCCAAUAUAUAAAUUCAUGAAUCAGUAGCUGAGUAGUAGAAUCCUAAGAUUAACUCCUAAUUGGCUAGUCUUACUGAAGUGCAUUGUAGAAAUGUCCCCAACUUCUCCCUAACUUACAACUCUAAUUCUCGACCUCCACAAUUCUCUGUCACGGGCCAUGUCCUUAGUAAUCCUAAGACGCCCCAUGUGUCCUACCUGAUCACCUUUCCAAAAUACUUCUUAGGUCUUCCUCUACCUCUCCUCGUGCCUACCAUAGCCAAUCACUCAUACCUUCUCACCGGUGCAUCUGUGCUCCUCCUCUAAAUGUGGGUGAACCAUGUGAGUCUUACUUCCCGCAUCUUGUCCCGUACAGGGGCCACGCCCACCUUCUCUCGAAUAUCUCCAUUUCUAAUCUUAUCCAUCAUUGUAUGUCCGCACAACCACCACAACAUCAUCAUCUCUGCUACUUUCAUCUUCUCGAUGUGUGAAUUUUAAACCGACCAAUACUCGAUCCUGUACAACAUGGAAGCCCUAACCACUGCUCUAUAAAACUUACCUUUUAGCAAUGGUGGAAGUUUCUUGUCACACAGAAUUCCCGUUGCUUACCUCCACUUCAUCCACCCCACCCCUAUGCGGUGUGUGACAUCAUCGUCGAUUUCCCCGAUCCCUGCUAACUGAUGCAAGGUACAUGAAACUACCCCUCAUAGGGAUGACUUGAGAUUCCAGCCUCACUUCCAGUCCCGCUUGCGUCGGCUCGGCCCCAAAUUUGCACUCCAGGUAUUUUGUGUUCGUCCUGCUCAACCUGAAACCUUUAGACUCAAGGGCAUGUCUCCAAACCAGCCUCUCGUUGACACCGCGUCAUGUCUUAUAAAUUAGGACUAUGUAAUCAGAAAAUAGCAUGCACCAUGGCACCUCCCCUUGAAUAUGAUGUGUUAUGGCAUCUAUCAAUAAGGCAAAUAGGAAAGGACUGAAAGCAGACACUUGGUGAAACCCCGUAACAAUCGAAAAGUGCUCGGAGUCACCUCCUACUAUCCUAAUAUGAGUCUUAGCUCCAUCAUACAUGUCUUUAAUUACCUCAAUGUAUGCUACCGGGACCCCUUUAACUUCGAAGCAUCUCCAUAAAACGUCCCUAGGAACCCUGUCGUACGAUUUCUCUAGAACGAUAAACACCAUGUGGAGAUCCUUUUUUUUAUCCUGUAUUGUUCUACCAUCAUCCUAAUAAGGUGGAUCGCUUCUGUGGUAGAUCGCCCUGGCAUGAACCCGAACUGGUUGUCUGAAAUAGAUACUAUCCUUCGCACUCUCAUCUCUAACACUGUCUUCCAGACUUUCAUAUUAUGACUCAAUAAUUUGAUACCCCUAUAGUUGUUACAGCUCUAGAUAUUGCCUUUGUUCAUAUACAAAGAAACCAAACUUAUAAGCAUAUGCAUUAACGCAAAUUGAGAGUUGUAUGCUUUUUUCUUUUUGACACAAUUCAAACAUAAAACAUAAGCAAAUGAACUAUUUAAUAGUACUACGUUUAAUACUACAAGUAAAACAAAACAGAAAAAGGAACAUACUUGUAAAUAUUUAACGAAAACCGGAUUUUUCAACCAUUUGCAAAAGUAAGCACUCUUCACCUCAUGUGCAAGGCAUUUCAAUUACAAAAUAUACAUCCUAAGGAAAAAUUCCCCACACAAGGUUAGACAAGUCACAUACCUCGAACCGGCUCAAAACCAACCCGAGAUCACGUUCUUUGCACGAGUGGAUAAUGUAAAUAACACUUCAAGUAACCGAUUCUACAAUUAAAGUCUAAGCUAAUACGCAAAAUUAUAUCAAAUAACCAAAAUGCCCCUCGGCUAAAAUUUAUAUUUUCAGAAACGUUGCACUCUCACGAGUUCAGUUAUAUGAAAAAGGUACCAAAAUUGGACCUUAAUUUGUCUCAAAUCAUCACUCAAAGGUCUCCAAUUAGACAACCCCUAAUCCCCCAAUUACCAUUGAUUUUCCAUAAUUUUUCAUGGUUAAUAUGAUAAAACUCAUCUCAAUAACGAGUUUAGGGACCAAAGAACUUACCCCAUUGAACACCUCUGACAAUCUCUCUUGAAAAGUGCUCCCCAAGCUUCUUCCCAUUUUGAAAAAGAAUAAAGUGGCUAAAUUUCACGAAGCAAGAAUUUAUAUGUUCUGCCUAUCGAUUUCCGCAUAUGCAACCCUGGGAUCGCAUCUGCAGUCCCGGUUUUGUGGACCAAAGUUCGCACCUGUGACUUUCACUUAAAGGCAAGAAUCUGCACCCGCGAUUACCCUAUCGUAGAUGCGACACCGCUUCUGCGGUUUUACUCCCGCAUCUGCAAAACAUGAAGGUUCUCCCCAGCUCAGCUUCUGCGAUGGCUACGCCUCUUUUGCGGCUCCGACCAUGAGGAACCCAAACCGCAGGUUCGCUUAUGACAUAUAUCAGCUGAAACUACCAACUUCAAACUCAAAAAUUCUUCGGUCGACCUUCCAAAUUUAUUGGCCCACGAGACCUCAACCAAAGGCAUGAACAAGUCUUAAUCAACUACCCAAACGUGUACCAAUCCGUAAAACACCUAAAACAAUAUCGAAACCUCGAAUUAACCAAGGAUUUAAGCCUAAGAACUCCAAAUUUCCUCAAAAUACACUUCCAAUUGAAAAGAUGAUCACAUUUCAUCCGAACGAUCUUAAAUUUUGCAAGCACGUUACAUUCAAAAAUAUGGAGCUACUCCUACUUUCGAAAUUCCAUUCCGAUGCUCAGAUCAAAAUUUCACUAUCGGACUGAAAACUUUAAAUUUAACUUUCGGCAUUUCAAGCCUAAUUAUCUACGGACCUCCAAAACACAAUCCGAACAUGCCCCUAAGCCCGAAAUUACCAAUGGAGCUAAGGAACCAUCGGAUUUCCCCUCCUAGGCCAUUUAUACAAUGUUACAACUAUGGUAUACUUUCCAACACUUAAAUCGCAUUUAGGGACUAAGUGUCCAAAAACUCUCUGAAACUCAAAACCAAACAUCACGGCAAAUCAAAAUAGCAGAAAUAAACUUGGGCAAGCAGUUAAUAGGGGAUCACGACAUUAAUUCUUAAAACGACCGACUGGGUCAUCACACAAAUGCAACAUCAGGGGUCUUAAUUUGGCAAUUGUGUUUCAUUUUGAACAAAAGUUAAAUAAAUUUGGGUCUCUCAAACCUUAAUCUUCCUCGCUCUCCUAAUUCUCAUGUUCCACCAUUUUCACUCCUAAUUGUAUGCAUCCAGGUAUGAGAGCUUAAUCUUUGUACUCUUCUUCUUAUUCCCUUCUUUAUUUCCCUUUAGUUAGGGUUCAAAUGGGCUCUUCUCUUCUGUGCAGAAUUGUUGAAAAAUAUUUUAAAUCUUGUUAUGGUUUUUUGGGUGAAGUUUUUUGAGAGUGUGAGCUUAUUUAUUUGCUUUAAAAUGGGGAAGUCUGAGUAUCCAUGGCUUUGUUCAAAUAGAAGUACUUUUGUAUGCUUCCUAUGUGAUAGAUGAAUGCUUUGAAUGAUAUUCUUGGCCGAAUCACUAAAUUUUCUUCAAUUCAUGGUUGCGUGUGAAGUUUAAUGCAUAUUUAUGUUCCUAAAACUGAUUGGGUUAUCUAAAAGCGUGCUUUUGUUCGAAAUAUUUUGGGGCUUGGGACUGUUCUCUGAGAGAAGCUUGGCUAGGGACGACGAGAUUGCAAUUGUGAUGGCCCCUUCGCAUUUGUUAAGAGGUGUUCGUAAUUGCAACUGUCAGCCCUGGAAACCUUCUCAUUUUCGAAGAUGAGCUCACAUUUGCAAACAUUUGAAAAGUCUAUUGGCUUCGCAAUUGCGACAUUAGAGAGCAGGCAUCUGCUGAAGUGAAAAUCUUGAAAUUUUUUAUAUGGCUGGGUUUCUACUAUCCAAUCAUAUAUUUGGCAUAUUUGACUCAUUUUGCAAUAUAUUUCAUACCCAUACUAUGUUUUCAUUCCAAUACUUUCCUUAGAGGUAUCAUAAGCUGAAAAUGAGCUCUCACUCCAACAAAGUCGGGCAUGACAAUACUUUGGAAGUAGAGGAGAAUGAUGGCCAACAUCCGUAUUUGUCAUUGGAAUGCCAUGAACAAUACUAAUGCUGAGUUGAAAGAAGCUUCUCCCGAAAAUGGUACAUUGUUGGAUAAAGUCCCAGAACAUCCUCCCGAGUUCUAUCAGAUGCUUGUAGACAUGGGAUAGAUCUGUUUUACCCCUCAAUCGUGUAGAUCCAAUGAGGAAUGGGUGAGGGAAUUCUAUGCAAAUAUUCGAGCCAUUAGGUUAAAAAUGACAAAAAUGAGGAUUCGCGGCAAAAUGGUGCAUUUUGGAGCUGAAGUUGUGAAUCAAAUCUAUCACCUAUAGGAACACGACAUUGCCCCAAUCCGUAAAGAUUGAGCCUCAGAGGAGGGGUUGGUCUCCAAAUUGUGACGUGGUGUAGAUGUUCCAUAUGCAAGUGAAAAGUGAGGGAUCACAUCAAAAGAAUUCACUACCGAAGAAAAGAUAUGGAUGACCAUCAAUGCAGUCGCAUCUCUACUACGGGAAAUAUAUGGAAUCUACCAAUAACAAGAGCUCAAAUAAUAUCCUUCAUUCUAGAUGGUAUUCGGCUCAAUGUUGGUGAGAUUUUCAUCACUGAACUAAGGGACUAUCAGAUUCAGAAUGGUCUAUCACUAAUGUUGCAUCUCUUAUCACUAAGCUGUGCCAACUUGCUGGUUGAGGAGGAUCCAAAAGACAACUAGAUAGAUCCAGAGAAGCCUAUCAAUCUAUUGAAAAGAAGAGGAGAGGGUGGUACCGUCAAAAGCAAAAAGAGAAAGUAAGGAUCUUCUUCCCAUACCAACCAGGGUAGCCAGCCAUCAUCUUCUCUAGGAGGAUCAUUUGCUAUGCUUUCCGAGGAAAUGCAUCCUUCCACAAGGCAUGGGGAAAAAUUUGAGGGACCCUCUAUAUUUAUUUAAAAGAAUUAAUUUCAAAAGUAUCUUGAUGACCAAAAGUAGGGGAAUCACCUUAAGUAGCUGAAGAAGGCAUAUACUGAUUUGGCCAUGACACGCGAUACUUUGUAUACUUCUCAUGACAAUCUGGCAAAGGCACACACCAGGAUGAAGAAAAGGGAGAAGAAGAGAGAUAAAUUCUUCACCUGCAUGUGAAAGGGUGUGAAGGGGACAUGAAAAUUUGUAAAGCCUCAAGAGCCAGUGCUAUCGAUCGAGCCAGAAGAUGAUGCUGCUUCAGUUCAUUAGUAAGAAGAGUAUGAAUAGGAGAAGGACGAGAAUGAUUUAGACCGCGCGGAGAGCCCUUUAUGCAGUAUUCAGGGAGCAAUUUCUACCAUUUCGCUUUAUUUUAUUUACUUGCAUUGAGGACAUUGCAACAUCUCUAGUUGGGGUGGGCUUCUUGUAUAACUGUUGAUAUUCUUUUGUUACUAUGGAUAUGGUAGAUUGAUAUUUUGUUUUCAUAUGAUGUGUUGUAUUAUAAUGUUUAUUAGCUUGUUGAAUUUUUUUAUAUAUAGUAUUUUAAUUGACGUGAGGUUUAAUAGCUUCUCCAAUUUUUAUUUUUAUAAGUAUGUUUUAUUGACUUGAUGUUUAUUAUCUUCUUCAUUUUAAAUAGUAUAUUUAUUUUGGUUUGAUUUUCUUUGUACCACAAUUCUUUUUUCAAGGAUGCCAAUUUAUUUUUGAAUCGGGUAAAUUGGUAAAUUUUUGUGUCGACAUUUUCCGAUGAUGGAUAGCUAGGAAACUUUAUUACGGGAAGUAGUCCUGCAGUUUAGAUAUAAAAUUUUGUAACUUCGAAAGAAUAAGUGGUAUGAGUUGGAGUUUGUGUCCAUUGGCUAAUUUGUGGCUUGCUUGAUACCAACAUUAUUUAGAUCAUAACAUAUGAAUUCUUGAUCAUUAAAAACAAAAAUGAUUUAAGUAAAGGUCGUUGUCAUGAGUUUUAGACUCAAUUUUUGGCUCUUUAAUUCAAUAAGUAGUUUCAUAGGCUAUAUGUGACUUCUUUGAGUUCAUUGGUUUCAAUUGUAUUAUGGAUUAUAUUCCACUUGAGAUUUCACGUUCUAUGUGUGGCGAGAUUUAUUGUGAGUUUUUUUGCAUCAUUUGUCUAGAAGUUGCUCCGAAUAUGCUUCAAGGCAAAAUCAUAGACUAACUUGGGUUGAAAAAUGAUGUUAGCCCUUCCUUGGACUGCGAUUGUACCUUAAAUUUUCUACUUUUGUAUAUUAUCCCUAGUCAACGCUUUUUUGAGCCUUUAAACUUUUCUUUGUAAACCAUAUUACAAGCUUUAACAUUCGUUCUUUAUUUAUGUAUCUUUUGGCACCCUACCUCUCUAAGUAUUUUGAAAGCAUAAACUUAGGCUAAAAGCCUAAGUUUUGGAGUGAAGGUUAGAAAAGUUGUGAUGUGAAAGUUGCUUAAAAGGUGAAAGCUAAUAUAAAAAAAAAAGAGUAAUAUUUGAGGAAAAAAUAAAGACUUGUUAAAAAAAAGGAAAGAUUAGGUGAUGAGGUUAAAAAAAAAAAGGGUGGAAAAGUUUAUGAAAGAUGUUUACUUUGAUUCUUGAAAAUUCAUAGUGCUUAGGGAGAUUUUGAGUCACUCUAACAAAAAUUGUGUCCUACCUUACCGAAAAGCAUAAACUAUCACUCUUUAAGUCCUAAUUGAUUUUAAACCAAGUUUGUUUAUAUUAGUGAAAAAUACCUGAAGGGAAUGGCUAUGGUACUACUUUUGUAUAUUUGAACAUCAUUGUGAGUGAGAGUUAAUUCUUUUAAGUUGAUAUCCUAUUUAUAUCGUGAAUUGAAAUUUAUGAGUGUGGAAUUCUCUUAUACGUGAGAGGAUGUAUCAUCCUGGUCGUCCGCUUUGAGUGUUUUAGCCUUAAUCCACUAUUAACUACUCUCCCAUGUCUAUUUUUACUAUUGUGACUUGAUGGGCAUUUUCGUUUUGGUUUUUGGAAGUGUUUGUGUGAUCACCCAAAUGGUCAUCACUGUAAUUUUCCCUUUCUUUGUUCUUCCGAGGCCCUGAAAACCUCUUAUUUGAUUUCCUCGAUUUGCGUGCAUAGUGCGGGCGCGAAGCAGAAAAUUUAUUAUGUGGAAAUAUAUAAAUUUUGUGUUAAAAACUUAUGAAUUUUGAUAAUAAUAUUGAUAUAAUUAAUUUUAGUCAAUACUUUGGGUAAACGGGCCUGGACCCGUGAUGUGACGGUCUCGGAGGAUCCGUAUAAAAAUUAUUGGACCCGGGUGUAUUCCCGGAAUCGAAAUCCGACGUCCCAGACCCGAGUACGGAAUUUUUGAAAGAAAUUAUUUAUCUUAAAUUAAUAUGAGAAAGUUGAAAUGAAAAUGAAUUAGAAAGAGAUGGUAUCGGUCUCGUAUUUUGGUUUCGCCGCGCGCUACAUGUCUUUCAUGAGUGUUAAGCACUUUCUGUGAAGUUUGGUUGAAAACGAACGUCAUUUGACGUGUUUCGGACUAAAAAUGGAUAAUUUUGAAGUUAUGAACUUUGAAAUGAAAAUCAUGAGUUUGGAGGCUUAAUUCUAUGUAAAUUAUAUUAUUUUGGCGAUUCGAUUACAAGAGUAAGUCCGUAUGAUAUUUAUGAGGUUCUAUGUAUAUUUGGGUUGGAGCCCCGAGGGCUCGGGGGAGUUUUGGCUAAGCAUCGGAUUGCAUUUCUCAUGUUUUGGAAUGUUUCUGGUAUAUGGCUUCUGCAAUUUUCAUAAAUGCGAAGCCAAGGAUCGCAGAUGGGAAAUGAGCCCAGGAAGGCCAAUGUUCGCAAAAGCAGACCUUUUUUUUUCAAAUGCGAGGAAGGGGAAUUUGGUCUGGGAUCACAAAUGUGAUCUAAUGCCCGCAAAUGCGAACCUCCCCCAUAUGGCCUAACUUCGCAAAUGCAAAGAAAUAUCUCGCAAAUGCGAGUCCCGCCUAUGAUCUGCCUUGUUACCAAUUGCGAACUAAUCCUCGCAAUUGUGACAUCUGCCAUUGUUUCUGCAUAGUUCGCCUUUCCGAACAAAGUCUCGCAAAUGCGAGAUUCUCACCUGUGCAUUCUAUACUUAGACGAUUUUAAACCUCAUUCUUCUAUUUUUCAAAACUCAAACCUCCAUUAGCGAAUUUCUCUCAACUCAUUCUUUCCCAAAUAAAUUGUAAGUCAACUUUUACUCAGUUUCUUCAAUCUUUAACAUCUUUUAUCAUGAUUUAAAUGGGUAAAAGUGGGGAUUUGGGGCAGAACCUAGGUUUCUCUUAAAAUUUGGGGAUUUGGACCUCAAUUUGGGGUCCGAUUUCAGAACAAAUUGCAUAUAUGAACUCGUGUGGGAAUGGGUAGCCCAAUUUUAGUUCAAACCACGGGUUUUGACCGCGUGGGCCCUGGGAGCAUUUUUGGAAUUUUUGGUAAAACUUUGGGAAAUUCAUUCUUAUGUAUUCAAAUUGUUUUAACUAGCAUUUGUUGAUACAUUUUAGUAAAUUGUGAUUAGAUUGGACCGGUUUUGUGGCGAAUUCGAGGGGUAAAGCUAUCCUAGAGGCCUGAGUUGAGUUUGGAGCUUUCGAGGUAAGUGUUUCAUCUAACUUUGGCUUGAGGGAAUAGGAUUAAGACAAUAUUUUAUAGGUUCUAAGUGUAGUCAGUGUAUAGGUAUGGUGACGGUUACCUAUGCACCCGAGUCUAGCAUGACCGUGAGUCGUAAUUGCUUUUCGAUUCGAAAGAGGUGAGACAAUUGAGUAAAUUACUUGUUAAAUGGAUUAUGAAGUGAUAGUUGAGGAGCAAAUGAGUUAAAGAAGGAAGUGUGGUAUUUUUCCCUUGCCGGGACUUAUUAUUUAAUUGUUUUCCCUUAGCGGGACUUAUUGCUGAAUUGUUUUCCCUUGCGGGGACGAGUAGGCUGUAACUAUUAAUUUCUCCCUUGCGAGGAUAUUUUUGGAUGUUAGUUGUACCCUUGGUGGGUUCGAUAGUUAUAUUGUUGUUCUUCCCUAGUGGGACCUCCCUUUGAAAAGAUUAUUUGAGAUAAUCAAUUAUAAUACGAGUUCAUGCGGCGCGCCGUCCACUUAUAUACUACAUUACGGGAUUGUGUGGUGCGCCGUCCACUUAUUGUUAUUGGCCUGAGAUGCCGGUGACAUUGUGCACGGAGAAUACGGGUUCAUGUUGGGUUCGUGCGGCCCACCGUCCACUUAUACAUUAUAUUAUGGGAUUGUGUGGAGCGUUGUCCACUUAUUGAUAUUGGCCUGGCAUGCAGGUGAGAUUGUGCAUGGAGAAUACGGGUUCUUCUGGUAUGCCGUCCAUAUAUAUAUUACAUUACGGGAUCGUGUGGCGCACCGUCCACUUAUUAUUAUUUGCCUGAGAUAUCGGUGACACUGUGCACGAAGAAUACAGGUUCGUGUAGCGUGUGGCGUCGACUUAUGUACUACACUAUGGGAUUGUAUGGCGUACCGUCCACUCACGUUAUACAUAUGGGAUCGUGUGGCGCGCCGUCCUUUGUAGAUAUGUGUAUUGCAAAAACGCGGAAUAGAUAUGCUGUAUUUUCUAAUGUUCCAUUUUCAUCUAGUACUCCCCGAUAGCAUGCCCCCUCCCAUUUUUACUUGUGUUAUCUUGAUAUUAUUUAUUUCCCGUACUUGUAUAUCAUAUUUGUACAGGUUAAUUGUAGUAGGUCCUGUCUAGCCUCGUUAGUACUUCCACGGGGUUAGGCCAGGCACUCACCAGGCCAUGUGAUCGGUUAUGCCGAUGCUACAGUUUCGUGCUCUUUUUGGUCAAAAUACAGCUUACGGACUGCAAUAAGAGCUUGGGAUCGUGCCUUCAGUCCAGAGACUCCUAGGUAGUUCGCUGGCAUUUCGGGUCUUGAGUCUCUUCUAUUUCAAUUAAGUUUGUUUUUUCAUUGUAUCGAAACAGACUCCUUAUGUAUUUUCUUUCAAACUCUUAUUUGUAGUAAUUCAUAGUAGUCCUUGAGUAUUGUGACACUAAAUCACUGAUAGAGGAUGAUGUUAAGUUUUCCAAAUUUUUCUUUCAUUUAAUAUUUAAUUUAGACUUCCGCUUGAAAUUAUUGUUUUAUUAUUAUUAGAUGUUGAAAAUUAGUUGAAAAGGGUAUGUUUAAGUUGACUUGCCUAGCUCCGACAUACGGCGCCAUCACGACCCCCGAUGGUGGAAAAUUCGGGUCAUGGCAAGUUGUAUCAGAGCACUAGGUUACUUGGGUCUCACAACUCACAGACAAGCUCCGUAGAGUCUCAGGGAUCGGUACGGAGAUGUCUGUAUUUCUGCCCAGAGGCUACAGAGUUAGGAAAAAUUUCACUUUGUUCAUUCUUCUCGUACAAUUCUGUUUCUCAAAUGUUGACCGUCGUUCUACUUUAUUCUUUCGCAGAUUGCAAGAACAUGUGCGUCGUCUUCUUCUGCGUAGAAGCCCGAGCUCCCAGCACUGCUCCCGCGAAGGGCAGGGGCCGAGUCCGAGCAAAAGGCCGUGGUAGGGGUAGAGCUCAGCCCCAGGCAGCAAUUCAUGAGGUGGAGCCUCAUAUUGACUUUGACGAGGAGGUUCCUGCCCUAGCAGCUCUAGUGGGCCCAGCUCAGGUCCCAGGAGGGGUUAUGCUUUCCCCGGAUCUCGAGGACGCUCUUGUCCGUGUAGCAGGUUUUAUGGACAGUGUUGCUAUAGCAGGUUUACUACCGGUAGCACUAGCCACCUCUUAGGCUGGAGAAGGCGUUCAAGCUUUUGCUACACGCUCUCUGGAGCAAGUAACUCCCCAGACUCAGGUUCCAGUGGUUCAACCCAUAGUGGCAGCUCAGAUAGGUAUUACCGCUCAGGUCGCUGAUGGAUCGGCCAUGUCUUCGGAUGCUUUAUGGAGACUUUAUCGGUUCUCCAAGCUUUUUACCACCACUUUCAGCGGUACUUCUACAAAGGACUCCCAAGACUUCAUAUGCAGCUAUCUUUAGGUCCUUCAGACCAUUGGUAUUUUAGAGACUAAUGGGGUCGGUUUCGCCACUUUGUGCCUUGCAGGAUCCGCCAAGACUUGGUGGAGAUAUUUCUAUUUAUCCAGGCCAGCAGGGUCGCCAUCAUUGACCUAUGAUCAGUUUUGUGAGCUAGAUCAUGGGGAAGUUUCUCCCAGUUACUCAGAGGGAUGUCCUUCGUAUGCAAUUUGAGCGCCUCCAGCAGGGUUCUAUGUCAGUUAUGCAGUAUGAGACGUGGCUUAUUGAUCUCGCAUGUCAUGCUAUUGUGAUACUCCCCACCGAGAGAAAGAGUGUGUAGAGGUAAGUGGAUGGUUUAGUGCAGCCGAUCCGUGUUCAGAUGGCCAUGAGCACCGGGAGUGAGAUUACAUUUCAGGAGGUGGCGGAUGGCACCAACUCGAUAGAGAUGGUACUUUCUCAGGGAGGUGGUCAGAGGUCUGAUAAGAAGCCUCAAUAUUCUGGUAGGUUCAGUGAUACCCUAUCUGGAGGUAGGGAUUCACAUGACAGAGGCCAUCCCCCGAGGCCGUUCCAGUCAGCCCUCCAGGCUUCUCAUUGUACUCCAGGAGGUCGCAGUUUUCAGUCGCAGUAUUCCCUCCAGCAGCUCUUCAGUUCACCAUCGGUGCCUAUUAGUGCGUAGUCGCUUCGUUAUUCUUAGCAGCCGAGGGCUUGCUUCACUUACCGUGACCUAAGGCACAUUUCCAAGUAUUGCCCUUGAGCUUCCAGCAGUUCACAACAGCAGGGUUCUCGUCCCAUAAUUUAGGCAGCACAUGAUCCACAGGCCGCCCAGUCAGCUAGAGGCGGGGGUAGAGGCCAUAGAGGUAGAGGUAGGGAGCGUAUGGGUGGAGCUUAAACCGCUAAAUGUAAGGGUUAGCCCGCAUCAGAUCGUCCAAGAGAUACAGUUCAGGGAUGAGGGUGUCAGCCCCGUUGUUAUGCUUUGCCGGCCAGGCUGGAGGUCGAGUCAUCAGAUGCUGUGAUCACAAGUACCAUUCUGAAUUGUAUUAGAGAUGUUUCAGUGUUGUGUGACAAUGGAUCUACGUAUUUAUACGUGUCACCUUAUUUUUCACACUAUUUGGUUAUGCCUAGUGAGGCCUAGGGUAUUCCUUUAUAUGUGUCCACACCGAUGAGUGAUUCUAUAGUGGUGGACCGAGUGCAUUGUUCGUGAGUUGUGGUAUUUGAGGGUCUUGAGACCCAUGAUGACUUAUUGUUCUUAGGUAUGGUAUAUUUGACGUCAUAUUGGGUAUGGAUUAGUUGUCUCCCGUGUCAUGCCAUUUUGGAUUGUCCCACCAAAAUCGUGACCUUGGCUUUACUAGAAUUGCCCCAUUUAUAAUGAAAGGGGAUUUGAAAUUGUUUGACCCGAAGCGUAAUAUGGUAUGUGAAGGCUUGACGCAUGGUUAAGAAAGGGGUGUUUAGCUCAAUGGGCGUAUGAUCGCGACUCCAGUGCAGAGGUUCCUUCUGUUGGUUCUGUUCCUAUUGUUCAGAAGCUUCCCCGAUAUUAUUCCAUCAGGCCUACCGGGCAUGCGGCCUGACAGGGAUAUAAAUCUUUGUAUUGAUCUAGAGCUGGGCACUCGGCCUAUUUUUGUUUCAUCGUAUCGCAUGGACCUUCCAGAGUUGAGAGAGUCAAAGGAAGAGCUUUAGGAUUUUCUUGAUAAGGGUUUCAUUAGGCCCAGAGUUUCGCCUUGGGGUGCACCAACGUUAUUGCGAAGAAGAAGGACGGUUCGAUGAGGAUAUGUUUCGAUCAUUUUAAGAGCACCAGGGUGUUUUCAAGGAUAUAUUUGGAAUAUAGUUUCCACUAGUUGAGGAUUUGGGCAUUCGGUGUCCUUAAGAUUCCGCACAGGCAUUAGUUUUUCUCACGGGAUCAAGACCUUAUACUGUUUAUUGUGAUUCUUCCCGUAUCGGGCUUGGCGCAGUGUUGAUGCAGAAUGGCAAGGUCAUAUCAUACGCUUUGAGGCAGUUGAAGAUCCACGAGAAGAAUUAUCCAGUUCAUGAUCUAGAGUUGGCAGCCAUUGUUCAUGACUUGAAGAUCUGGAGGCAUUAUUUAUGAGGUGUGACGUGCGUGGUGUACACAGAUCACAAGAGCCUUCGGUACUAGUUCAAGUAGAAAGAGUUGAAUUUGAGAUAGCGGAGGUGGUUGGAGUUGCUGAAGGACUAUGAGGUUUCUAUCUUAUACCACCCGAGGAAGGCCAAUGUGGUGGCCGAUGCAUUGAGUAGAAAGUUCGCAAGCAUGGAUAGUCUUGCCUUUAUUCCCGUCAGCCAGAGACCUCUUGCCUUAGAUGUUCAGGCCUUGGCCAAUAGAUUUGUGAGAUUGGAUAUUUCUGAGCCAACAGGGUGCUAGCUUGCACGGUUGCUCGCUCGCUAUUGAUAGAGCAUAUCCUGUAGUGGCUGUUUGAUGAGCUUCAUUUAUGUGUUCUGAGAGACACGAUGCAGCGGGGAGGGGACAAGGAAAUGACCUUGGGAGAUGAUGGCAUAUUGAGAUUUCAGUGGGCGAGUUUGUGUGCCCUAUGUUGAUGGUUUUCGACAAUUGAUCUUAGCGGAAGCCCACAGUUCUCGGUAUUCUAUUCACCCAGGCGCCGCAAAGAUGUAUCAAGAUUUGAGACAGCACCAUUAGUGGUGCAUAAUGAAGAAAGACAUUGUUGAAUAUGUGGCUCGUCGACUUAAUUUUCAGCAGGUGAAGUAUGAUCCUCAGAGGCCCGGUGGGUUAUUUCAGAGGAUUGAGUUUCCGACUUGAAGUGGGAGAGAAUCACCAUCGAUUUUGUUGUUGGCCUUCCGAUGAAUUAGAAGAAGUUUGAUUCUAUAUCGGUUAUUUUUUAUAGGUAGACCAAGUCAGUGUAUUUUAUUCCAGUUGCCACCACCUAUUCAUCCGAGAGAUACGCUGAGAUUUAUAUCAGAGAGAUCGUUCGCUUUCAUGGACUGCCCAUAUCUAUUAUUUUUGACCGGGGUCCGCAGUUUACCUCGAAUUUUUUGAGAGCGGUACAGCAUUAGUUGGGCACCCAGGUUCAGUUGAGUACAACAUUUCACCCCAGACGGGCGGUCAGUUCGACAAUAAUAUUCAAAUUCUUGAGGACAUGCUCCGAGCCUGUGUUAAUUAUUUUGAAGGCUCGUGGGACCAGUUCUUGCCUUUAGCAGUGUUUUCCUACAACAACAACUACCAGUCCAGUAUUCAUAUGGCUCCGUAUGAUGCGUUGAUGGUAGGCGGUGUUAGUCCCCAGUCGGCUGGUUUGAGUCGGGAGAGGCUCGGCUAUUGGGUAUAGAUCUAGUACAGGAGGCCUUGGAUAAGGUCAAGAUCAUUCAGGAAAGACUUCGGUCAGCUCAGUCUAGGUAGGAGAUUUAUGUAGAUCGUAAGGUCAUGAAUGUUGCUUUUAUGAUUAGUGAGCGAGUAUUGCUCCGGGUAUUGCCUAUGAAGGGCGUGAUGCGAUUCAGUAAUAAGGGAAAGCUUAGCCCUAGGUUUAUUGGCCCAUUUGAGAUUCUCGAACGCAUGGGGAAGGUUACUUAUCGACUUGCCUUGCCUCCUUGCUUGUAAGCCGUGCAUUCGGGUUUUCACGUAUCCAUGCUAGGAGGUAUCACGGCGAUUCCGCCCACGUGCUAGAUUUGAGUACUGUCCAAUUGAAGAAGGAUCAGUUUUAUGAGGAGGAGCCGGUGGCUAUUUUUGACUUGCAGGUUUGAUAGUUGAGGUCGAGGAGGUUUCCUUCAGUGCGUGUUUAGUCGACAGGUCAGCCUCAUGAGACAUCAACCUGGGAGUCCGAGUCCGAUAUACAGAGCCGUUAUCCCCAUCUGUUCCCCGACUCAGUCACUUCUUUCUUUCGUCAAUUCGAGGACGAACAGUUAUUUUAUAGGUGGAGGACGUGACGACCCAAAGGGUGAUCACUGUAAUUCUCCCUUUUUUGGUGCUUUCGAGACCUAAAAAAUCUCUUAUUUAGUUGCCUCGAUUUUCUUGCACAGUACGAGCGCAAAGCCAGAAAAUUUUUAUGUGGAAAUAUAUGAAUGUUGUGUUAAAAACUAUGAAUUUUGCUAAUAAUAUUGAUAUAGUUGACUUUUAUCAAUAUUUUGGGUAAACCGAUCCAGACCCGCGAUAUGACGGUCCUGGAGGGUCCGUAGAAAAAUAUGGGGCCCGGGCGUAUUUCUGGAAUCGAAAUCUGAGGUCCCAGACCCGAGUACGGAAUUUUUGAAAGAAAUUGUUUAUACGAAAUUAAUAUGAUAAAUUGAAAUGAAAAUGAAUUAGAAAGUGACGGUAUGGGGCUUGUAUUUUGGUUCUGACGCCCGGUACAGGUCUUAAAUGAGCGUUAAGCAUUUUCUAUGAAGUUUGAUUGAAAACGAAAGUCAUUUCACGUGUUUCGGACUAAAGAUGGAAAAUUUGGAAGUUAUGAACUUUGAAAUUAAAAUCACGAGUUUGGAAGCUUUAUUCUAUGUAAAUGAUGUUAUUUUGGCGAUUCGAAUGCACGAGUAAGUCCGCAAGACAUUUUUGAGGUCGUGUGUAUGUUUGGGUUGGAGCCCCGAGGGCUCGGGAGAUUUUUUGCUAGGCAUCGGAUUGCAUUUCUCAUGUUUUGGAAAUUCUUGUAUAAGGCUUCUGCAAUUUUCGCGAAUGCGAAGCCAAGGAUCGCAAAUGCGAAAUGAGCCCAGGAAGGCCAAUGUUUUCAAAAGCGAACCUUUCUUCACAAAUGCGAGGAAGGGGAGUUUGGCAUGGGAUCGCAAAUGCGAUCAAAUAUCCGCAAAUGCGAACCUCCUCCAGAUGGGCUAACAUCCAAAAUGCGAAGAAAUAUUUCGCAAAUGCGAGUCCCGCCUAUGAUCCACCUUGUUUGCAAUUACGAACAAAUCCUUGCAAUUGCGACAUCUGCCCUUGUUUCUGCAUAGUUUGCAUUUGCAAAAAAUGUAUCGCAAAUGCGAUAUCUGCACCUAUGCAUACUUAAACGAUAUUAAACUUCAUUCUUCAUUUUUUUCAAAACUGAAACAUCCAUUGGCGAUUUUCUCUCAACUCAUUCUUUCCCAAAUCAAUUGUAAGUCUACUUUUACUCAAUUUCUUAAAUCUUUACCAUCUUUUACCAAGAUUUCAUCUUAAAAUCAAGGCAUUUAAUGGGUAAAAAUGAGGUUUUGGGGUAGAACCUACGUUUUUCUUAAAAUUGGGGAUUUGGACCUCAAUUUCGGGUCCGAUUAAAAAAAACAUUGUAUAUAUAUGCACUCGUGGGGGAAUGGGUAACCCCGAUUUGGUUCGAACAUCGGGUUUUGACCACGUAGGUCCGGGGGCAUUUUGGGAAUUUUUUGGUAAUACUUUGGGAAAUUCAUUAUUAUGCAUUCAAAUUGAUUUACCUAGCAUUUGUUGAUAAAUAUGAGUAAAUUGUGAUUACAUUCGACCGGUUUUAUUGCGAAUUCUAGGGGUAAGGCUAUCCUAGAGGUGUGAGUUGAGUUUGGAGCUUUCGAGGUAAGUGUUUCAUCUAACUUUGGCUUGAGGGAAUAGGAUUAGGACAAUAUUUUGUAUGUGCUAAGUGUAGUCGGUGUAUAUGCAUGGUGACGGUUACCUAUGCACCCAAGUCUAGCAUGACCGUGAGUCGUAAUUGCUUUUCAAUUUGAAAUAGGUGAGACAAUUGAGUAAAUUACUUGUUAAAUGGAUUAUGAAGUGAUAGUUGAGGAGAAAAUGAGUUAAAGAAGGAAGUGUGGUAUUUUUCCCUUGCAAGAACUAAUUAUUCUAUUGUUUUCUCUUACCGUGACUUAUGCUGAAUUGUUUUCCCUUGCCGGGACGAGUAGGCUGUUACUACUAAUUUCUCCCUUGCAAGGAUAUUUUCGGUUGUUAGAUAUACCCUUUAUGGGUUCGAUUGAUAUAUUGUUGUUCUUCCCUAGUGGGACCUCCAUUUGAAAAGAUUAUUUGAGAUAAUAAAUUAUAAUAUGGGUUCGUGCAGCUCGCCGUCCACUUAUAUAUUACAUUAUUGGAUUGUGUGGCGCGUCGUCCACUUAUUGUUAUUGGCCUGGCAUGCCGGUGACAUUGUGCAUGGAGAAUACGGGUUCGUGUGGUACGUCGUCAACUUAUAUAUUACAUUACGGGAUUGUAUGGCGCACCGUCCACUUAUUACUAUUGGCAUGAGAUGUUUGUGCACGAAGAAUACGGGUUCGUGUGGCGUGCCAUCCACUUACAUACUACACUGUGGGAUUGUGUGGCAUACCGUCCACUUAUAUUAUACAUUAUGGGAUCGUGUGGCGCACCAUCCUUUGUAGGUAUGUGUAUCGCAAACACCCGGAAUAGAUCUGCUGUUGUUUCCGAUCUUCCAUUUUCAUCUAGUACUCCCCGAUAGCAUGCCCCCUCCCAGUUUUACUUGUGUUAUCUUGAUAUUAUUUAUUUCCCGUACUUGUAUAUCAUAUUUGUACAGGUUAAUUGUAGUAGGUCCUGUCUAGCCUCGUUAGUACUUCCACGGGGUUAGGCCAGGCACUCACCAGGCCAUGUGAUCGGUUAUGCCGAUGCUACAGUUUCGUGCUCUUUUUGGUCAAAAUACAGCUUACGGACUGCAAUAAGAGCUUGGGAUCGUGCCUUCAGUCCAGAGACUCCUAGGUAGUUCGCUGGCAUUUCGGGUCUUGAGUCUCUUCUAUUUCAAUUAAGUUUGUUUUUUCAUUGUAUCGAAACAGACUCCUUAUGUAUUUUCUUUCAAACUCUUAUUUGUAGUAAUUCAUAGUAGUCCUUGAGUAUUGUGACACUAAAUCACUGAUAGAGGAUGAUGUUAAGUUUUCCAAAUUUUUCUUUCAUUUAAUAUUAUCUAGCCUCGUCACUACUUCGACGGGGUUAGGUCAGGCGCUCACCAGAACAUGGGAUCGGUUAUGCUGAUGCUACACUUCUGUGCCCUUUUGUGCAUAGGUCAAAAGACAGCUUACAGACUGCAAUAGUAGCUUGGGAUCGUGCCUUCAGUCCAGAGACUCCUAGGUAGUUCGGCGGCGUUUGCGGGCCUUGAGUAUCUUCUAUUUCAAUUUUGUUUGUUUUUUGUUAGGUUUUAUGCCUGUCACUAGANNNNNNNNNNNNNNNNNNNNNNNNNNNNNNNNNNNNNNNNNNNNNNNNNNNNNNNNNNNNNNNNNNNNNNNNNNNNNNNNNNNNNNNNNNNNNNNNNNNNNNNNNNNNNNNNNNNNNNNNNNNNNNNNNNNNNNNNNNNNNNNNNNNNNNNNNNNNNNNNNNNNNNNNNNNNNNNNNNNNNNNNNNNNNNNNNNNNNNNNNNNNNNNNNNNNNNNNNNNCAAAAGAGUAGAUAAAGAGAUACAAAUUUAGCUCUAUGAACAACUCAAAGUUGUCUCUCAAAUGGCUCAACAAAAGCUCUAAAAUGAUGCUCAAAUAAAAUCAAUAUGUAUAUCAAUAUUGGGAGGUGUUGUGUUUUUCAAAUCAGCUCAAAAGACCUCUUUAUAGGGGUUAGGGGGUGCAAGUCCGUUGCUUAAUUGACAAUCAAUUAUGCUGAUUUUAUGNNNNNNNNNNNNNNNNNNNNNNNNNNNNNNNNNNNNNNNNNNNNNNNNNNNNNNNNNNNNNNNNNNNNNNNNNNNNNNNNNNNNNNNNNNNNNNNNNNNNNNNNNNNNNNNNNNNNNNNNNNNNNNNNNNNNNNNNNNNNNNNNNNNNNNNNNNNNNNNNNNNNNCCAACGUUCCGAAAAUCAGAAGCUGAUUUUCUGCUGAAUAAUCGUUUACUGGAUUCUGCAUAAUCGAUUAUUCUGUUCCAGUGUUCAAACACUGGCAACGUUCUACAGCAUAAUCGAUUAUGCAGAUUGUAUAAUCGAUUAUUCUAGUCCAGAUUUGAAAACUUNNNNNNNNNNNNNNNNNNNNNNNNNNNNNNNNNNNNNNNNNNNNNNNNNNNNNNNNNNNNNNNNNNNNNNNNNNNNNNNNNNNNNNNNNNNNNNNNNNNNNNNNNNNNNNNNNNNNNNNNNNNNNNNNNNNNNNNNNNNNNNNNNNNNNNNNNNNNNNNNNNNNNNNNNNNNNNNNNNNNNNNNNNNNNNNNNNNNNNNNNNNNNNNNNNNNNNNNNNNNNNNNNNNNNNNNNNNNNNNNNNNNNNNNNNNNNNNNNNNNNNNNNNNNNNNNNNNNNNNNNNNNNNNNNNNNNNNNNNNNNNNNNNNNNNNNNNNNNNNNNNNNNNNNNNNNNNNNNNNNNNNNNNNNNNNNNNNNNNNNNNNNNNNNNNNNNNNNNNNNNNNNNNNNNNNNNNNNNNNNNNNNNNNNNNNNNNNNNNNNNNNNNNNNNNNNNNNNNNNNNNNNNNNNNNNNNNNNNNNNNNNNNNNNNNNNNNNNNNNNNNNNNNNNNNNNNNNNNNNNNNNNNNNNNNNNNNNNNNNNNNNNNNNNNNNNNNNNNNNNNNNNNNNNNNNNNNNNNNNNNNNNNNNNNNNNNNNNNNNNNNNNNNNNNNNNNNNNNNNNNNNNNNNNNNNNNNNNNNNNNNNNNNNNNNNNNNNNNNNNNNNNNNNNNNNNNNNNNNNNNNNNNNNNNNNNNNNNNNNNNNNNNNNNNNNNNNNNNNNNNNNNNNNNCAAUUAAAGCAUACUAGAAGGUGAAGACAUUUCCCCUUAUUCGAUGCAUAUCGCCUAAAUUCUUCCCCCUUUAGGCAUUAGCAAAAAGAGUAUACCAAUUUUUAUUUAAACUAUUGACGAUACCAAUUGUUAGAUAAAAAAAAUUAUAUCAACAUCAAAUAAUACCGAACGUUAGUUAAAACAUACCAACCAUAAUAACGGUCAUUUUUCGCGAAUAUACCAACUGUUAUUUAAACUAAAAAUAUUCAUCAGAACAUGAAUCAAUCAUUUAAUAUAAAAAUAAUUGAUACAAUUGUUAUUCAAAAUAAACUUAUCAAAAACAUGAAUUAAUAAUUAAUAUCAAUUGUUAGCACAUAUCAACUAUUAUGUUUUUAUCAAANNNNNNNNNNNNNNNNNNNNNNNNNNNNNNNNNNNNNNNNNNNNNNNNNNNNNNNNNNNNNNNNNNNNNNNNNNNNNNNNNNNNNNNNNNNNNNNNNNNNNNNNNNNNNNNNNNNNNNNNNUCUACUACGAUUUUGUAGUCUUCAAGCACACCUGCAAACGUACCUAAAAAUAGGUUUUCGGUACCCAACUUCUUUUGGGUCCUUGAGGGUUAGGCAUAUAAUAAUCAUAAUCAAAACAUGAAUCUCUAUGUUUAGUAAAACAUACGGGUGCAAUGUGUCCUACCCGGUUACAAUAAUGACAUCUAACAUUCGGGUUGUGCAUAUGUCUUGGUUGAGCCAAAAACGUUCUAGGUGAUCUAAAGUCGUUAUUCCUAGACGUAUNNNNNNNNNNNNNNNNNNNNNNNNNNNNNNNNNNNNNNNNNNNNNNNNNNNNNNNNNNNNNNNNNNCUAACAUUCGGGUUGUGCAUAUGUCUUGGUUGAGCCAAAUACGUUCUAGGUGAUCUAAAGUCGUUAUUCCUAGAAGCGUUGAAAUUCCUAGAGUUAUUUUUAGGUGGUCUAAAAUUAUUAAUUUUUGACUCAUUAAUAAAAAUCCUAGAAUCAUUUCUAGGUGGCCUAAAGUGAUUAAUUCUAGGCUCAUUAAUAAAAAUCCUAAAAUCAUUUCUAGGUGGUCUAAGAUGAUUAAUUCUAGACUCAUUUACAUAAUUCCUAGAAUUAUUUCUAGGUUGUGCAUCGCAAUUUCUAAUAUGAUUCUUAUUCUUUCUACGUCUUUUAUUUUUCCUGGGCUUUUCCUUCUUAGUCUCUUCAACUGUUUUAGGCUCUUCUACACUAAGUUUUUCUAGUGUGUUCCUAAGAUCUAAGUUCUCUAUUUUCAACGAAUCGCAAGAUGAGCAAUUANNNNNNNNNNNNNNNNNNNNNNNNNNNNNNNNNNNNNNNNNNNNNNNNNNNNNNNNNNNNNNNNUUUGUGCAUCACAAUUUCUAACAUGAUUCUUAUUCUUUUUACGCCUUUUAUUUUUCUUGGGCUUUUUCUUCUUAGUCUCUUCAAUUGUUUUUGGCUCUUCUACACUAUGUUUUUCUAGUGUGUUCCUAAGAUCUAAGUUCUCUAUUUUCAACGAAUCGCAAGAUGAGCAAUNNNNNNNNNNNNNNNNNNNNNNNNNNNNNNNNNNNNNNNNNNNNNNNNNNNNNNNNNNNNNNNNNNNNNNNNNNNNNNNNNNNNNNNNNNNNNNNNNNNNNNNNNNNNNNNNNNNNNNNNNNNNNNNNNNNNNNNNNNNNNNNNNNNNNNCUAUUUUCAAAGAAUCACAAGAAGAACAAUUAGAACUUUGACCAAUUGAAGAUGCUUCAUUCAUCGCCUUGAUUUUAUUUUUAAGAUCAAUAUUGUCAUUUUUAAAAAAAUCAUUUUCUUCUUCUAAAACUUUGAUUUUAUCCUUAGCCACUUUGGCGAUUUUUGAAGUCCUUUUCAAUUCACCAAGUAAUUCUUUAAAAGCUUCUUGUAAUUCUUCGAAAGAGCAAGAAUUAGAAGUGCUUACCUCUUCUUCUUCGUCGGCCAUGAAGCAUAGGGCAGUCGUUUCAUCGCACGAGUGGUCCGAGUCCCAUGUCACAUGCUUUUGGACUUGAGGCAUACCUUCAUAAAUGGCUUCAAGUUUAUCCCACAUUUCUUUGGCGGCUGUGCAAUAAGAAAUCUUCCGAUAGUCAUCCGUAUUCACCGCACAAUAUAACAUAUUGAUCGCCUUGGCGUUGUAUUCAUUCUUCUCCUUCGGAGCCAUGGCUUCCCCAACUUUCUUUGUCGGCNNNNNNNNNNNNNNNNNNNNNNNNNNNNNNNNNNNNNNNNNNNNNNNNNNNNNNNNNNNNNNNNNNNNNNNNNNNNNNNNNNNNNNNNNNNNNNNNNNNNNNNUGUGUGAUUGAAUGAAGAUUCUCAUCCGCUCUUUCCAGUAUGUAUAAUUUCUUCCAUCAAAAAAUGGAGGCCUCUCGGUGGAGUGUCCUUCGAUCAUUAUUCCUGUUUUAAAUAUUCUCAACAAAAAAAAAUAUAUCGCUCUCAACCGGUUAAGGCUUUCAGAGAGUUAGGCUCUGAUACCAAUUGUUAGGUUUAAUGCCCGUCACUAGGGGGGGGUGAAUAGUGCUGCACGAGAAUAUUGAUAAAUAUUGCGGAAAUAAAAAUUGCAGGAAUAAAAUAAAUUCAGUAAUAAAAAUAGCAAGGAAAGAACACACCGAAUUUAUCCUGGUUCACCACAACUUGUGGUUAGUCCAGUCCCCGAGAGACUCUCUCGAGAUUCCACUANNNNNNNNNNNNNNNNNNNNNNNNNNNNNNNNNNNNNNNNNNNNNNNNNNNNNNNNNNNNNNNNNNNNNNNNNNNNNNNNNNNNNNNNNNNNNNNNNNNNNNNNNNNNNNNNNNNNNNNNNNNNNNNNNNNNNNNNNNNNNNNNNNNNNNNNNNNNNNNNNNNNNNNNNNNNNNNNNNNNNNNNNNNNNNNNNNNNNNNNNNNNNNNNNNNNNNNNNNNNNNNNNNNNNNNNNNNNNNNNNNNNNNNNNNNNNNNNNNNNNNNNNNNNNNNNNNNNNNNNNNNNNNNNNNNNNNNNNNNNNNNNNNNNNNNNNNNNNNNNNNNNNNNNNNNNNNNNNNNNNNNNNNNNNNNNNNNNNNNNNNNNNNNNNNNNNNNNNNNNNNNNNNNNNNNNNNNNNNNNNNNNNNNNNNNNNNNNNNNNNNNNNNNNNNNNNNNNNNNNNNNNNNNNNNNNNNNNNNNNNNNNNNNNNNNNNNNNNNNNNNNNNNNNNNNNNNNNNNNNNNNNNNNNNNNNNNNNNNNNNNNNNNNNNNNNNNNNNNNNNNNNNNNNNNNNNNNNNNNNNNNNNNNNNNNNNNNNNNNNNNNNNNNNNNNNNNNNNNNNNNNNNNNNNNNNNNNNNNNNNNNNNNNNNNNNNNNNNNNNNNNNNNNNNNNNNNNNNNNNNNNNNNNNNNNNNNNNNNNNNNNNNNNNNNNNNNNNNNNNNNNNNNNNNNNNNNNNNNNNNNNNNNNNNNNNNNNNNNNNNNNNNNNNNNNNNNNNNNNNNNNNNNNNNNNNNNNNNNNNNNNNNNNNNNNNNNNNNNNNNNNNNNNNNNNNNNNNNNNNNNNNNNNNNNNNNNNNNNNNNNNNNNNNNNNNNNNNNNNNNNNNNNNNNNNNNNNNNNNNNNNNNNNNNNNNNNNNNNNNNNNNNNNNNNNNNNNNNUCAUUGUUUGUCAUUCAUCAAAACCUAUACCUGAAAAUCAUGCUAAUACAACCAAAGCGCACAUAUCAUAGAUAGAAUGAUUUUCUACAUUCAUUGUGUCGAAACAGACUCCUUAUGUAUUUUCAUUCAAACUCUUAUUUGUAGUUAUUCAUAGUAGUCCUUGAGUACUGUGACACUAAAUCUUGGAUAGACGAUGAUGUUAAGUUUUCAAAAUUAUUUUUCCAUUUAAUAUUUAAUUUAGACUUCCGCUUGAAAUUAUUGUUUUAUUAUUAUUCGAUGUUGAAAAUUAGUUGAAAAGGGUAUGUUUGAGUUGGCUUGCCAAGCUCCGACAGUAGGCGCCAUCACGACCCUUGAUGGUGGGGUUUGGUUCAUGACAAGUUUGUAUCAGAGCACUAGGUUAUUUGGGUCUCACAACUCACAGACAAACUCGGUAGAGUCUGAGGGAUCGGUACGGAGACGUCUGUAUUAGAAAACUAGGUUACUUAGGUCUCACAACUCACGGACAAGCUUGGUAGAGUCUGGGGGAUUGGUACUGAGACGUCUGUAUUUAUCCCCCAGUGUAUUUAUCCCCAAGAGGCUACAGAGUUAGGAAAAAUUUUACUUUGUUCAUUCUUGUCGUGUGAUUCUGUUUCUCAAAUGUUGACCGUCAUUCUACUUUAUUCUUUUGCAGAUGGGAAGAACAUAUGCAUCUUCUUCUUCUGCGUAGAAGCCCGAGCUCCCAGCAGCAGCUUCCGCUAGGGCCAGGGGCCAAGGCUAUGAGAAAGGCCGUGGUAGGGGUAGAGCUCAGCCCUAGGCAGCAGUUCCAGAGGUGGAGCCUCAUAUUGACUUUGACGAGGAGGUUCAUGCCCCAGCAGCUCUAGUGUGGUGCACCGUCGACUUAUAUAUUACAUUACAGGAUCGUGUAGAGCGUCGUCCACUUAUUGUUAUUGUCUUGAGAUGCUGGUGAAAUUGUGCAUGGAGAAUACGGGUUCAUCUGGCUAGCCGUCCACUUAUAUAUUAUUUUACAGGAUCGUGUGGCGCGCCGUCCACUUAUUGUUAUUUGCCUGAGAUGCAGGUGACAUUGUGCACGGAGAAUACGGGUUCGUGUGCGCGCCGUCCACUUAUAUACUACACUAUGGGAUUUUGUGACAUACCGUCCACUCAGAUUAUAUAUUAUGGGAUCGUGUGGCCCGCCGUCCACUGUACAUAUGUGAAUCGCAAAAACCCGGAAUUGAUCUGCUAUUGUUUCUGAUGUUCCAUUUUCAUUUAGUACUCUCCGAUAGCAUGUCCCCUCCCAGUUUUACUUGUGUUAUCUUGUUAUUAUUUCUUUCCCGUACUUGUAUAUCAUAUUUGUACAGGUUAAUUGUAGUAGGUCAUGUCUAGCCUCGUAACUACUUCGCUGGGGUUAGGUUAGGCACUUACCAGCACAUGGGGUCGGUUGUGCUAAUGAUACACUUCCGUGCCAUUUUGUGCACAAGUCACUAGAUAGAUUACGGACUGCAGUAGUAGCUUGGGAGCGUGCCUUCAGUCAAGAGACUCCUAGGUAGUUCGCUGGCGUUCGCGGGUCCUGAGUCUCUUACAUUUCAAUUCUGUUUGUUUUUUUCAUUGUAUCAAAACACACUCCUUAUGUAUUUUCUUUCAAACUCUUAUUUGUAGUAAUUGAUAGUAGUCUGUGACUACUCUGACACUAAAUCUUGGGUAGAGGAUGAUGUUAAUUUUUUCCGCAUUUUUUUCCAUUUAAUAUUAAAUUUAGACAUCCACUUGAAAUUAUUGUUUUAUUAUUAUUAACUGUUGAAAACUAUUUGAAAAGGGUAUGUUUAAGUUGGCUUGCCUAGCUCCGACAGUAGGCGCCAUCACGACCCCCGAUGGUGGGAAAUUCGGGUCGUGGCAGUUUGUGAAACUUAGUCCCUAAAUGGAGGCUUACGUCUUAGGAUUUGGACCAUAGUCAUAACUGCAUGAAGACGACUUCAAAAUUGAAUCCCUCAAAUCCGUUAGAUCUGUUGGGUGAUUUUGGCAUUAGGCCCGUGUCUGCAUUGUGUUUUGGAGGUCCGUAGCUUAUUUAGGCUUCAAACGGCAAAAGUAAGAUUUUUAGAAAAUUGGACCGGUAGUGAAAUUUUUUGUAUCCGGGUCGAAUUCCAAAUCGGAAAGUUGGAGCAGGUUUGUAGUGUGUAAUAUGACUUGUGUUCCAAAAUUAGGGUCAAUCCGACGUGGUUUGGUUAGUUUCAGCAUCAGUGUCGAAUCAAAGGAUAGAUCGUGAUAUUAGCAUUGGUUGAUGUGGUUUGAGGGAUCGACUUGGUUCGUAUUUUAUUUUAGGAUUGGUUGGUAUGUUUGGUUGAUGUCCCAAGAGCCUUGGCUGAGUUUCUAUUACUUAACGGAUGGAAAAUUGGAGCAGUGCAUAUUCUGAAGUUGUUGGAUUUUGGUCAUAAGAGCCUAUGAGCGCAGAUGCGAGAUGAGGGCCGUAUAUUCAAAUUUUGAUGACGUCGUCGAAGAAGCAAAUUUGGGAAGGAAGUCGACUUUCCACAUAAGCGGAUGAUGGAGCACAGAAGCGCAUCCGCAAAUGCGGUUAUGUGCGCAGGUGCAGAAGAUGGUAGUUUAAUGAAAAUUCACAAAUGCGGAAUUUAAUCCAAAAAUGCGGUACCGCUGAAGAGGGUAAUUGACUGAAUGUGCGGUUUAACUGGUAGAAAAAUGGCAAAUUUGGAGGGUUUGAAUUCUUUCUUCAUUUUUUGACUUGAGAGCUCGAAAUUGGUGAUUCUUCGAGUGAUUUAAAGAGAAUGCUUUGGGGUAACAAUUUCUAACUCAUUUUUGGUUGUAUAUCAUUAAUCCAUAGUUAUUUUCUUCAUUAAAUUAAGGAUUUUGUAUGAGAAGUUGGGAAAAUGGAAGAAAACUUCUUCAACCAAAUUUCAUAGUUUUGAUUGGGAUUUAGACAUUGGAUUUAGAUAAUUUUAGUACGAGUGAACUCGCGAGUGAAUGAGUGUUCAUAAUUUGUGACGUUUACUCGAUUCCUAUAAAUGGCCCUGGGGAGGCUUUUUGGGAAAUUUUUUUUAUUUCUGGUGUUAGCUUUAAUUUCAUUAGCGAGAUUAAUUUUAUAUGGUUAUAUUUAUGUUAGGUGGAAUGUCUUUCUUCCCACUUAGACUUGUUGGACUUUUGAAAGACGAUACAUGAACUUUAAAUUUUUCUAUUUGAACACUCGAACUUGAUAGAAUAAGUACUAUAAAUAUAUCCAAUAGUGCGUGUAUAUCAAUUACGCUAGCAUGUACAAGACGUCAUAUACUAGAUUAUUUAUUAUUUGAUCCGUGUUAUUUGUGGGUCCUAUUUUUAAAUAACAAAUAAACAAAAAAGAAGUUGCAAAUUUAAAAAGGUAAAAAGAAAGAGAGAAAAUGACUUGAAGCUAUUACUCCGUUCACCCACAUCUCACGUCUUCUUCAUUCACCCACCUCUAUUCCUUUCGUUAUUUUUAUUCUUCUAUUUUCUCUCUAACUUCUAAAUCUAAUUCACAAUACCAUUAUACCCAAGGUUAGACUAGAAAAAUAAAUUUAAUUUUGGAAUUUCAGAAAAAAUCAAUACGUAUCCAUUGUUCUAAAAAGCUUUGAAAACCUCAUGUUUGAGGACAAAAGGCACCAAUUUUCCAAUUAGCUUGGUAAUAUGAUGGACCUUGGAUGCGAGAGCAACAAAAAUCAAACUCCACCACUUCCCGAGCAACUCCCCAAGGAAAUUCUGGUAAUGAUAUCAAAUCAGACGGCGUCAACCUGUAGCACGGUGCUUUAAUAGUGCAAGCAACUCAGAAAAAUAGAUGCCUCGCCAAGACUUCUAAAAUGUACCGCCGAUUAUUUCUCCGUGAAACCCCUCAUUGAUACAUUUCGUUUUAACUUCACCAUUGCUCCACCAUUUUGUUACAAUCAUGGAUAUAAUUUCAGAACCUGGAUGUAAUAUUCUUUUUAUAAAACAUUUUUUAAUUUAUUCCAUAUUGAUAAAGUAUUUUUGACCAUAUUAUUACAUUCACACGCAUUUUUUGCAUGACUAACAUGCAUUUUGUCCACAUCACAUUUGUCACUUCCACAUGUGCAUGGUCGACGGUCAAAUGUGUUUAUUAGUUAAGGGAAUCAUGAGUUUGAAUGUUCAAAUGGGAAAAUCUAAAGUUUAUGUGUCGUCUUUCAAAAGACCUACAAGUCAAAUUGGAAAGGAAGCCAUUACGCUUUUGGGCUUCAGGGAAUAUGAUUAGGAUGAUAUUUUCUAUGUGCUAUGUGAAGUCGGUGUAUAGGUAUGGUGACAGCUACCUAUGCGCCCGAGUCUAGCAUGAAUGUGAGUCAUAUUUGCUAUUAAAAUUUCGAAAGAAGUGGAUAAUUGUGAUAAUUACUUGUUAAAUGAACUAUGAAGUGAUGGUUGAGAAACAAAUGAACUAAAAAAGGAAUUUUGGCAUUUUUCCCUUGCCGGGACUCAUUGUUGAGCUGUUUUCCCUUGUCGCGACCUAUUGUUGAGCUGUAUUCAGCAAAUGAACUAAAGAAGGAAUUUUGGUAUUUUUCCUUUACCAGGACUUAUUGUUAAGUUGUAUUCCCUUGCCGAGACUUAUUGUUGAGUUACUCCCCCUUGCCGGAAUAUUUUAUCUUGUUAUAUAUUCCUUUCCCGUUUGGUUGUGACCAUUAUUUGGGUGAGUAAGAGAGAGAUUAUGCACGAAGGAUCUUUCCGUGUCAUGUUUCUUCAUUAUUUGAGCACGAAGGGUCAUUCCGUGUCUUGAUGUGAGAGUAUUAUAAGGAAAGAACGAAGGGUGAUACCGUGCGCUAUGUAUUGAGAGUAAAAGCACGAAGGGUGAUGCCGUGCACCAUGUUUUGAGAGUAAAAGCAUGAAGGGUGAUGUUGACAGUUUUAGUGAGAAAUGAGAUUAAAAGCACAAAGGGUGGUGCCGUGCAGUUGUUGAUUCACUAGCUUUCUCUAUUUUAUGUUAUAUAUUAAGUUCCAUUUCUUGUUUGUUGGAUUCGUCAUUGAACUGUUACACCCCAGCAUGUCCCCUUCCCAUUAUCUAUUUAAGUUUUUAUUAUCUUUCCGUUAUCGUACGUAUAUUUGUGCAGGUUGAUUGUGGUAGGUCCAGUUUAGCCUCGCCACUACCUCGCCGGGGUUAGAUCGGGCGCUUACCAGUACAUUCGGUUAGUUGUGCUGAUACUACACUUCUCUGCCAUUUUGUGCACAGGUCAGGAUACCGCCUAUGGACCGCAGCAGUAGUUAGGGAGCGAGCCUUCAGUCCCGAGACUCCGAAGCAGUUCGCUGGCGUUCGCGGGCCCUGAGUCUCCUCUAUCUCUUCCAGUUUAUUUUUAUUGUAUCAAAAUAGACUUGUAUGUAUUUCUUUUAGACUGUUGUUUUCGGUACUCUUUUAGUAGUCCGCGAGUAGUGACACGAGAUACUGGGUAGAGGCAUGUUACAAAUUUCCCUCAAUUUGUUAUUAUUUCUUUUAAAAGUCUUCCGCGUGAUUUUAAUUAAUUAUUUCAGUAUUUAUAUUGUUUUAGAUUAAGGUUUUUGUGAAAAUGUUCACAAAUGGUUAGCUUGCCUAUCCUAUAUAGUAGGCGCCAUCACGACUCCCGAUGGUGGGAAAAAUUCGGGUCAUGACAAUUCCCAAUUGUUUGCAAUUUCGUAGGAUUUUUAUUAAUUGUUUGCAUUUUUGAUCACGUUUACUUUUAUUAAAAUCAUGAAAAUACAAAAAAUACCAUGCAUUGUAUUUAGAUUUUGUGUUCAUAUUAUUAGAUUAAUUAAUUUAUUUAUUAAUUGGUUUAUUAAAAUAAAAUCACAAAAAAUUGCUCAUUUUUACAUUCUUAACUUUUAAAUUAUGGAAAAGUAAUUUUCUCUUGUAAUUUUGGAUCAACACAUUUUUAUUAAUAUAAUAGUUGGAUAAUUAUAUUAAUUUUACAAUUCGAAUCAAUUUAGGGAAUUAUUUUAGAUUUUUAAUAAAUUAAAAGAAAUGGACAAAGGAAAAAAUGAAAACAAGAGCAAAAUGAAAAGAGUAGUUGAAAAAGAAGCAUGUUUAGAGUCGAAAUUGGUCCAGGCUUGAUAAAAAUCUCCUCCGAUCCAAGCCCAAACCUUACUCGGUCCAACCAGCCCCACCAUAAACCAAAUGAUACCUUUACCAUGGUCAUUAAAUCCCAUCCGUUGAUUUCCUUUAAUCGAGCGGAUGAGAACUACCUUCCAUUUAAUAUAAGAAUGUCCUAACUGCCCCCCCCCCUCCAUUUUGAAUGCCUAUUUCUUCUCCCGCACCCAAACUCUAGCUAACCUAGCCACCCAACAUUCCCAAUCCCCACCGACCGGCGGUACAACCCCAAUCGACCCCAAGCUCAUUGUAACAACCUGGUUUGACCUCUGUGAAUCAUCGUGACAACACAUAGUCUCUGCUACUCGGUGAAAAUGUGGAAAAAAACUAAUCCAAAUGUGUGGAAGAAAAGAAGAAAACAAUUGUAACAAAACUAGAAAAAAUUAAACAGUGCUUUAAAGGUGCCACUCGGCAUACUCAACACAUAACUUAUCAAACUAAUACAUACUCCCAAAACAAGGAAACACAUAACUUAUCAAACUAAUACAUACUCCCAAAACAAGGAAACUCAUGAAUCACAAGCUACGAAAUAUAGUGAAAUGAUCUAACUACAGAAUGUCUACAUCAAUUGUAAGAUAGAAAGGUUAUCACUAUAAUAUAGAAUAAAGAUAGAGACUCCCCGAUCUGCGGACCCGGCAAAUGUAUCUCGAAGUCUUCGAAAGAUCUCCCCUAUCUCAAGGAUGGUAAGCUUGAGUAGAGGUACCUGGAUCUGGACGUGAAAAACAUGCACAGAAAGGGCAUGAGUACACCACAAUGGUACUCAGUAAGUGCCAAGCCUAACCUCGGUAGAGUAGUGACGAAGAAGGUCACGACCUUAGUGAUGUUAAAUAAAAGAAAUAAUUGACAGCAUAGAACAUAAGACACUAAACAUGUACAACACUAUAAGUAGUACAAAUGUAAAGGACAACCAGAACUACGCAAGAACAAUGAAAACACCAAGGGAAAAAUAUAGUUCAUAUCCCACAAUAACAAUUGGGAUCUUACUGUCAUAUCCCAAAAUCCACUAAUGGUCGUGGUAGCGCCGGAUACCACUAUCAGGCAAACAAACUGACAUACUUAGCUAAAUUCUUGUUGUAAUAAUUUUGAAAAUAAUUCUCUGGCUCCAAAAUUUUUCGGUUCUGCGGAAGAAUUUCCGAUUCCACGGUCUCGCUUUUGCUGACCAUCUGCUGCUUCUGCAGAUUCCACUUGGCCACCCUUUUUCGAUUCUUUGUUCCCCUUUCCACAAAUGCGGUCCCGCUUCUACGGAACCUUGACCACAUCUGCGGUCCACGAUCCCCUGAUUAAAUCCACUUCUUCGGUUCCCUUUUCCGCUUCUGCGGGGCCGCUUUUGCAGUUAACCCACCGCAGAAGCAAUAAUACCAGCAACCAGACCCUUCAACUAUAUUAAAUUACAAAUCUUGAUAUGUUAAUCACCAAAAUCCACCCGAGGCCCCCGAGACAUCAACCAAACCUACCAACAAAUCCCAAAACAUAUUACGGACUUGGUCGAGGCUUCAAAUCACAUCAAACAACGCUAAAAUCAUGAAUCUAAGCUUUAUGAACUUUAGAACUUCCAAGUUCUACUUUUGAUGCUUAAACCUAUCAAAUCACGUCGGAUUGACUUCAUAUUUUGCACACAAGUCAUAUUUGACAUUACGGACCUACACCAUUUUUCGGAAUCCAAUUUUGACGCAGAUUUCAAAAGUCCACUUUCGGCCAAACUUCUGAAAACCUUGAAAUUUCUAUCUUUAGCCAAUAGCUCCAAAAUAACCUAUGAACUCAAAAUUCACUUUCGAACGCGUUACCAACUCCCGAAUCACCGUGCGGAGCUUCUCCUAUAUUUGGAAUCCCUAACGGACAUCGAUAACACUAAAUGUAUUUCAAGCCAAACAUAUGAAAUUUCUUCCUAAAUGCCAACUUACUCAACGGGCGCCAAAAUGCUCUCGUGUCAUCCAAAACCUGAUUCGGGCAUACGCCCAAGUUCGAAAUCAUCAUAGGAACCUGCCGGAACCAUAAGAUCCUGAUUCCGAGGUCGUCUACUAAAAUUUCCAAUCGUAGAUAAUUCCUUCAACUUUAAGCUUCUGGCAUAAGAAUUCUCUUUUUAAAUCAACUCUAAACUUCCCGAAAUUCAAUUCCGGCCAUACAUACAAGUCCUAAUACCUGAAAUGAAGUUGCUCAUGUCCUCAGACCGCUAAACAAUGUGCCAUAGCUCAAACCGAGAAGUCAGGUCAUUACACUUAAACGAUACCGUCCUGAUAAGUCUCUCGGGAUACCAUCCUGUAUUCCUAAAAUCAAUGCACACGGGAUCUACCGGAAUCCCAAUCCGUAGUCCCAAAAAUAAAAACCUAGUGCUAGAGGAAUCUAACGGGUGCAUUCCCGUAAUUCCAUAUAAUUGUGCAAGGGAAUCUAGUGAAAAUCUAACCUGUAAAUAGAAAAGGGGGAGUUACUGGAAGCUCAUAUCUGUAGUCCCAAUGUAAACACAUAGCAGUAACAUGAAAAAAUAUUCAGAGAAAGGGAAAUCUCAUAUCAAGGCAACAGAUAAUUCUACCCUAGCAUAUUGUGCGAACUUCAGGUAAAAUAGUGAAACAAAUAAGGCAAUUUGAUCACUUAGGCAUGUUACUAGAUAACAUAGGUUUAAAUAACACAAGAACGAAACAGGAAAGUAACAUAAUAGUAAUGCUUAAUAAAAAUCAUAUUUUCCAACAAUUAGCACAAGUAUGCACCCAUCACCUCACAAACAAGGUAUUUCAAUUAACAAGUAUACAAAAUCCUAAGGGGAAGGUCCCUCACACAAAGUUAGACAAGCCACUUACCUCGAACCGACACAAAAUCAACCCGAAACCACGCUAUUGCCACGAGUAUCCAACUCCAAAUGACCCAAUCUAUUCAAUUCAAUUGCAUAUUGUAAUAACACCUCAAGUAACUGAAUUGAUAAUUAAUUCUAAGUUAAUACGCAAAAUUAGGUAAAAUGACGAAAAUGCCCCUCGGGUGCAAAUCUCGGAAUUGGGAAUAAUUUACAUUUACCAAAAUCUCGUACUCUCACAAGUCUAUACAUAACAAGAGAACUGCAAUUGAAGUCCAAAUGACCCCUGAAACCCUCAUUUAAAGACCUCUUAAACUCAAGCCCUAAUUACCCAUUUUUCCCAAGUUUCAUACCACUAUUUAGGUCUUUAUUCAUAUAAAAACGAGUUAUAAAGUCAAGGAUGUUACCUCCAAGUGACUCCCCUUUGUAAUCCUCAAAAAUCCAUCUCAAAAUCUUCAAACCCAGAUGAAAAUGGUGGACGAUAGCUCAAUUUCACAAAGGAAACUAUUUAUAUAUUCUGUGUUUGCGGCCCUGGGACCACAUCUCCAAUCCCGUUACUUCGGACCAAAGGUCGCAACUAUGACUUCCACUAACAGGACAAAUUUCUUAAUCUGUGCUUACCCUUCCGCAAGUGUGGUACCGCUUAUGCGAUGAAUUUCUCGCAUGCGGAACAUGCCGAUCCUCCCCAAAUCCUCAUAUGUGCUUGCUAUGCCAAUUCCAUGGCACCACACAUGCGGAACCAAAUCCCCAGGUGCAGUUAUGAUUGAAAACCAGCAGAUGCUGCAAACUUCCAACUCCAAAUUCCUUACGUCAACCAUCCGAGAUUAUCCCGAGGUCCCCGGAACCUCAACUAAAGGCAUCAACAUAUCCUAAUACGUUAUUCAAACUUUUACCAAUCUCAAAACACUUCAAACAUCAUCAAAACAACCAAAACACAUUAGAUUCAAGCCUAAGUAUAAAUAAUCUUCUAAAUUCCGCUUUUGAUCAAACUACUGAAACUCCAAGAAUUCCAUUCCAGCCCUUGGAUCAAAAUCUCACUACUGAACUGGAAACUUCCAAAAUUCAACGUUUGGCAUUUCAAGCCUAAAUUAGCUACAAACAUCCGAAACACAAACUCAAUACACUCAUAACCCCUAAGUCACUCAACAAAGCUAACGGAAUCAUAAGAUUUCUAUUCCGAGGGCAUCUUCAUAUAGUUCUGACUACAAUGAACUUUCCAAUACUUAAGCUCUCAUAAAGGGACUAAGUGUCCCAAAACACUCCAAAACUUAAAACCAAACAUCCUGGAAAAAAAAUUAGUAGAAUUAAACUUGGGGAAAGCAGUUAGUAGGGGAUCAGACAUUAAUUCUUAAGACGAUCGGCUGGAUUUUCAUAUCCUCCUACACAUAAACAUUCAUUCAUACCCGAACGAGCAUAGAGGCAUACCUGAAGUAGUGAAAACAUGAGGUUAACAGUUGCGCAUAUCCCGCUCCAUCUCCUAAGUCGUCUCCUCGACCGGCUGACCCCGCCACUGAACCUUUACUGAUGCAAUGUUCGUUGACCUUAACUUUCUGAUCAGCCUGUCCAAUAGAGACACUAGCUCCUCAACAUAGGAUAGAACCUUAUUCAACUGGACUAAACUAAAAUCCAACACGUGCGACGAAUCACCGUGAUACCUCCGCAGCAUCGAAAUAUAAUGUACCGAAUGAACUCCUACCAAGUUGAGAGGCAAGGCAAGCUCAUACACAAACUCUCGAACAUGCCUCAAUAUCUCAAAAGGGCCAAUAAACCUUGGACUCAACUUCACUUUCUUCCCAAAUAUCAUAACGCCCAUUAUAAAUGAAACCUGCUCUCCAACCAUAUAGGAAAAAUAACGAAUAUUCCGGUCCACAUAGCUCUUUUGCCUGGACUGGGCUGUACGGAGUAUCUUUAAUCACCUAAACCUUCUCCAAAAAAAUCCUGAACCAAGUUUGCGCCGAAUAAUAUAGUUUCUCCCGGAUCGAACCAACCCACCGGAGAUCUACACCGCCUACCAUAUAAAGCAUCAUACAGCACCAUCUAAAUGUUGGACUUAACUUUGUUGUAAUCAAACUCCACCAAUGGCAAGAACUGAUCCCAAGACCCUCCAAACUCAAUCACACAUGCACGAAUCAUAUCCUCAAGAACCUAAAUAGUGUAUUUGGAUUGUCCGUCUGUCUGAGGGUGAAAUGUUGUACUCAACUCUAUUUGAGUACCCAACUUGUUUACCGUGAAAAUGGUAACAACAAUUAAAUUUGUAAAUGGGAAUCUAAAAAUACGUGAUCUAUUCUCGAGCUAGUUUUUAAUAAUUUUAAUGCUAAGAACGCAAAGUGUAAUAGUAAAAUUCGAGCUAAUACGAUGCUGGAAUCAAACUGAAGGGGCUUAUUGCCCGAGUGAAGGGGUGAUAAAUAUGACCUCGGGGUCGGCAUUGGUAUCGACCUUGGACAAUCGAGGAUAGUCGAGGAUGGAUAACAAUUAGAGGUAUUAUAAGCAAGGCUCUAUACAGCCAAUAUUAGACAAUGCAGAAAAUGAAGGUAAGAAAAUAAUAAAUGUGAAGGAGGUCUCAAGCAUGUGGGGAUGAACCAUUUAGAAGAGAAGAGAGAGAGAGAUAGAGAGAGAGAUGUUAUUGCACUAGUGGAGAAAAUGGAGUAACAUCAUCCCAUUACAGGACGAUAUGGGUUCCUCUUAUAUAGGAGAGGGAACCCAGUAUGUAGAUUGUAUUAAAUUUAAAGAUAUGGGGAUGGGAGGGCUAGACAAGACACGAGGACCUUUUGAUUCUAACUGCUUGCCUCGGAUUCCCCCGUCAUCGUAACCUUUGCCGGGCUAACCUCGGAUGCACUGCAGGACCGCGAAUGAUCCUCAAGACAAGGAGCCUGAUCACGAUCCUACAACCUCGAGGUGCUAUCAUUAAAUUCCUAAUAUACCUUAAUAGCGGUAGAUUGGUUCCCCCAAUUUUUCCACAAAUUGAUAGUCUCGGUGUUUCCUAGAAUGAAGUGAUAGGAAACGAUGUUGAAUCGUCAUCUCGAGGCCAUUAUUGGCGUGAUGUCAACCUUCUAAGAGCAUCAAAUUCCAUGACCAAAGAAACUGUGUACGGCUAACGUCAAAUGCGAUAAUCGAGAAACCCAUGAACUGCCGUAGGUUUCCUCUCUUCUGCUUCCCUAGUAGCUCCAAUAAAUGCUUUUACUGCUAGAUACUCCCAGUCUUCGCCCUUCCCUCGGGCUUGUAAACCAGAAUUUUGCUAUUUGAUACCGUUUCAUUUUUUCUUCUCUUUGAGGAAAGGUUUUACCAUUUUUCAAGGUCAGGACUUCGAGGAUGGUUCCCCAAUGAAGUGAUAUUUUGUCAUCAUCUUGAUUGUCUGGGGGGUAGGGAAUAAAUCGGUUUCCACAUUGGAACAAUGAACCGCUCCCGCUAUUGACACAUCAGUUGAUUUCGACAUCGAAACUCCCUCAUCUACAAUGGGUAUUUGUGAGUAUGUAUCUCGAUAUGUUCGCGUCAUGACCAAUGUUGACAAAGAUAAAGAGGACUACAAAUGGAGCAAGGAAGUUGAGGUAAAAAUUCUUGGCCCCAGUGAUAACAAUACCGACUCAAGGAUGGAUUUCUCUACACAUACGCUUAUCCAUUCACCUUGGGUCCUGAUAAAUCUGUCGAAUCUCCUCUUUUGGAAAUCGAUUCGAUUAUCCUUGACUUGUGUGCUUAAUAUCGGGUGACCCUCAGUCAGAUCUACCCACCUUCUAGAGGAUCGUGUUGAUGCUCCGGUAUUUCACCGAAGGGGUUACAGGUGAUAUCUUUACCCUCAUCCAUUUUAUCAGAUUGUACCACCCUCAGCUGCAUCGACGCUUAAUCAAGCUUCAACAACAGUCCAAAAAAUCUUUAUUCACAAGUGUUGAUGAGGGGAAGGACCGGGAAUGGAUGAUCAGGUUAAUUUUAGUGAGGACCUCGGAUAUCAUCCUGUCCUGGAGGAUGCCAUUCCCAGAGCGAUGGAACAAUUGACGUAUGUGAACUUCCCAUUAGCCACUUCUCAGCUAUUAUUUGUUUUUGCCAAAAUCACCCUUUUGUUCUCUCUCCAGCCAUUGCUUGCCAUCCCGAGGCGGUCCUAGAUUUUGCAGGACGAAUCAGGAGUUUGGGUGAAAGGUUAUCGUACCGCUUCCAGUCUUGGACAAUCAUGUCCAAUGAGUGCUGGUUGGCCAGAAAUCACAGUAAGGUUUCUUCAUUGCUCGUGCUUCACCUUUAUUGUUCCUCUCCGAGAUCUAACCAAUGGCGUGUUGCAUUUUUUGUUCUGGCGCAUUCUUUAGAGAGAAUAUGAAGAUGAGGCCACCCCCCUAUGGUGAAGCGGGGGCCUUGGGGCCUUAUAUGAACAAGAAAAAGAAAGACAAGGUGGCCAUCAUUUGUCCUGAUGAAACUGAUGCCCUAACAUUCAGGUAGAACCCUGAUGUUUAGGGGAAGGUGGAGGAUAUGAGUCCGUUGAGGAUGAGGGCGAGGUCUAGUGUGCAAGGUAUACAUGUGCCCCAGUCGGAGGCUGUUGAAUUUGGGAUGGCAAAAUCCGGUAGGGCAAAAGAGCCGGGAGUCCUUAAAGAGAAUGUUGAUGUGACUUCGAAUCGUGCAGCUGGAUUCGAUGUGGCAUCUGCUAGCAGGCCCAUUAGUCCUUAUGGUUCGGGCUUCGGGACAUCCUAAGGAGAUGGGCUGCUAUUAAGAGAAAUCGACGACCCAAAUGAUCUUAUUCAGAACAUCCCAAUCUGAUCAUGAGAGCUGAGGUACGCCAAAGGGAUGAUUUGCGCCACUAUUGGUACUCUUUUCAAAGGGGUAUGCUUCAUUGACAACAUUUUUGAUGGCGUAAUCGUCGGAGUUGACCUCAACGCUUUUGGUUCCAUUAAAAAGGUGGAUAAGUCCCAACAGCUGGUGAUAAUUUUUUCUUCCUCAUUUUUUUUCAUUCUCGAUCAUCAUUCGUCAUUUUUCUUAACUUUCUCAUUGUGCUGCAGUGUAAAGAUAUGUAUGAUCAUGCUAUCCUUCGGCUUUGUGAGGAACUUUCUAGCAAUUAGAAGGAGCACAAUAACAUUGCUUUGAAACUUCAAGACUUGUAUGCUCAUGGCGUGUGGGGAGAUAAAGAGUUGGGCGAUCUUUGGGCCUCUUUGGAGGUGGCUCUUUGAGAGAAGGCCGCCCUUGCUGCCAAGAUAUUCCACCUUGCUCAAACCUACCCUCUUACUCUGUAUCCAUACGUGUUUUGUUAUUCAUAUAUUCACAAUCUCGCCUUUCGUUGUAGGUUGAGCAGUGCAGAUCAUGGAUUAGUCAGUUGGAAGCGGAGGUCUCCGGGUUGAAGGAGCAGAGCGAGACUGUAAUCGGGGAAUUGACAUCCCUGGGCCUUCUCUCGGAUACCCGCAGGAAGAGUGUUGCAUUGGCUGCAGCUAAGUCUAAGUCCGAGCAAGAUGCUGCCGUUUAUAGGGAGGAUGUGGCUGCAACGGAUGAAAUUGUUCGGGACAUAUCUCUAGCGGCUGGGAAGAAACUGGCACAAGCUGUCGAGCAUGCCAAGGUGAAGGUAAAGAGGAAGGUCCUAGAAGAACUCGAGGCUAAAAUCUUCGUGCUAUCUACCAACCCGGAGGAGGCUCGCAUGAUGGAGGUAAGACUCGCACUUUUGUUUGUCACCAAUCGGGGUGAAGGCAAUAGUGGCAAGGAGUAGUCUCCGAGCCUUUUUUUGUAUACCUUCUAUUUUUAAUGUGUUCUCCCUAGCAAGAGACUCAUAGGGUAAAAAGGUGUUUUUCCUUUUUUCAUGGAUCCUUUUCGUAGGACAGACCGGGGGGCCCCCAGACCAGCCAUGUCAUGAGGUUGAGUCGAUUGCUCCUUUGAACCGAUACUUGAACUUUCAGGGGUCUACCGAGGUCCCUUGAUUUCACGAGUGAUGUGGGAGCGUGAGAUGAUUUUUUUGAUGCCAUCCCUAAGGAGAAAGUCACAUUUAAUGCGACCAUAAAUAUUUGGCCUUCUUGAGAAAUUAAGGAGUGGUUGCCUUGCCCCUAUAUGUUUUUCUAUCCGCCCUCCAAGUAGCAAUUUUGCUGUUGUUUGAUAAGCCAUCUCCUUUGUAGAGCCCGACGCUUUUUGCGAGUUCCUCCAUUUCUUUACUUAUGGGAGUUUUUACCUAAGCCCUCCUCUUUUUCUCCUUCUUCAAUCGUGGCCAUAGUUGCUGCUUCGGCACCUGGUCCUCGGACGAGGGGAAUUACUUCUUGCGUUCCACCUUUGGUUGGCGCCCCCUUCCCUCUCCCAAUGUUGAGGGAGCGACGCUUGGAGAAUGCAGCCACGCCGGGAAAACCUCCCAUUGUUCCUGGCCAUCGGGAGCAUGUGUCGAGGAUUACUUCAUCGGUGAAGGAGGAGAACCUCGGGGCAGUCAAGAAAGAGUGCGGAUGGGGGUAGGUGUGCUUCUACUAGCACCUUUCUUUAUGAGAGUGCUAUGAUGCAUAUUAAGGGCUCUUGAGCGUGUAUACCUAUGUCCUCAGGUCGGGUUCCCUGGAUCGGGCUGAGCUCGAUUUUUGUAAAAAUUGCUAUGUAAGGUUGGAUUAGAUUCUUCCUUUUCUCUAGAGGAUAGUGCAUUCAAAGAUAUCUUUUGAUGAUAAGGCCGGGAUAAAGUUUACCCUCAGUCACCUUAUAAGGUUGUACCGGCCAAUACAUUACGUGGCCUAGUUGCUCUUCAACACAGGUCUACCAGAGCAUCCAUGCUUGGCGGUGAGGAGGAUGAUGAUCGUAGAUGGAUGAGUCAGUUCAUUCGUAUCCUGAUGACCGACAAUAUUCCCGUAGAAUUUUUACCUUUUCCUAUGACAUGGAACUCCGCACGUAUGCGUUCUGUUCGAACCGGCUUUCCCUUCUUAUGAAGCUGGUUCCAUAAUGAUGUCUUUCUAUCUUUUGUUUAUUGAAACUUAUUGGUUUCCGGUGAGGUCCUUGAUUUAACCGAAUGGUCUCGUAGGUUGGCAGCUUGUUGGGCUCAUGAUAGGCACCGGUGGUGAGAUCUUUCAAAAGGGAGAUGGGAGGCGAAACAUUAUUCUAGGUGCCUGGAGUUCUCCCUCUUUUUUUGGGAACAACUUCCUUUUUACAGAUUCACCCAAUUCCUCUAUUAUAGGUAUCGGGAGUUCAUUUGAGGUGAGACUGGAUUCUCCAAACGAGGAAGAGGAGAUAUUACUGGCCCAAGGAUCGAGGAGCACUGGCAUAAGGAAAGGUGUUCCAUGGUGCGAGAAGGCUUGUGGUGAGGUGUCUCCUCUGCACAGGUUAAGGGGAAGCUAUUUGGUUGCCAGCAAGCUUUCGAGAUAUAUGCAUCAUCAUACGUUGCUUCGUCCCUCGACGAGGAUCAUCAUCUUGGACUUGUGGUAUGGUUUCGGCCGCUGUAGAGAUACUCUACCCCAAGCUCCUUUCUUUGUCUUUUACUCACCUGGCUUCCCUUCUUCAGGCGUUUGAUAGUCUCAAUGUUGUGCUAGUUCAUUGCAUGGCCCCAUUGCGGGAAGUUUUAAAUAGGAAAAAUCCUUUAAACUUCUCUGUGCAGCGAAGGAAAAUGAGUUUGUAUCUUUACGGUGCGGGGCGGACCGAAGCCACGCCCAGGAAGCCCUAUUGGAGAAACACGUGUGCUGCAUUUUUUGCUAACCUAUUUUCCCCUUUUUGUUAUGUUGUUUUUGACGUGUCGUUAUUUCAGUUUAAGGACAUGGCGGAUGAACUGGAACAACUCUAGGGCGAGAUCGGCAAAGCCAAACGUGAAUUUACUAAAGUGCAAAUGCAUUUUAGUGCCACUUUUGAAGCCAAAGAAAGGGCUCAAGCCGUGACAUCUACUCUUAAGGCACAAAUUAAAGCCACUCGUGCGAAUGAUUCUGCUCGAGCAAAGAUGAUCACGAGACUCCCAUCCGAGCUAUAAAGGGAGAAAAAUUACAUGGUGAACAUCCAGGCUGAGGUCGUAAUGAAUAAUACCAGGGCCGGGCCAAAAAUUGCGGCUUAUUCAAAAAGCGUCGCGGUCGCUAAGGAUGGGCUAAAAAAUCUCCUCAAUUAAGCGAAUAGCAGCAGGGAGUAUUAAUGGUGUAGAUCCCGGAGGGAGACCCUCGAGGAGAUUCAUGCCAGAGGCUUUGAUCUUUCGAAGGAGAUCCGACAACCCAAAGGAGAUGAGUUUGAUGCCAAGUUCCUGAUAACCGAUGAUGAGGAUGAUGAGGAGACCGUCGGUCUGUAGCGGGCGGAAUGAAUAUUCCCUGCUUUCUUUAUUAUAUAUUCCUUUCAUUAUGCGACGCAUGUCGAGAUUGCGCGUUGUCAUCAAUAUGUAGUAAUAAAAGGGGAAUCCCCGCAACUUGUAUCUUUUGUACUUCUACUAGUUUGACUUUUCACAUGGUCGAUAUGAUCUUAGAUUUUCCCUUAGGCAUGCAUUCAUUUACAAUUUUCGGGUUCACUCUUUGAGUUGGGGGUCCAACUCGAGCUUAAUAUACCCUCUAAUUUUGCAUUCGUUCAGGCUAGCGAUUAUGGUUUUUAUUCCCUAGCCGAUGAUAGUGGCAUUUAUGCCGCUUGGUCAUUUGAGACCUUUUAGUAUGUGGCCUGGAGGCUUUCAAUAGUUAACUAUUUUCCAAUCGUUCUCCGUUUUGAGUUAGGAUUUGAGCUCAUUUUAAUCCUCAGCUUGUAAAGAUUUUUUAGCGGGAGAUAAUGGCUCUUAUGUUGUUUGGUCGUAGAGACCUUUUAAUAUGAGGCCCUUAGGCUUGCUUAGCUAGAGACAAUGGCUCUUACAUUGUUUUUAGCACAUGCGAUUAUUGUAGGCUUUUCAUCUGCUCGUUAAGGUCUUUUUAUAGUAUUUUUUCCUGACCUGUCGUCGGUUCUAGAGGAACCUCAUUUCAAGUCGUUUCCGGCGAUGUUUUGAGUACCUCAUAAGGUUCAUAGCUCAUAGGUCGAGCAGAUCUAUGCUCUUGCAUUUUGAAGCCGACAUUGUCAGAACUCGGUUUUGCGUGUUGAGGGAAGCCUAUUUUAAUCGAUUCAUUUCGAAGUAUAUUCGGAGUAGUGCGUGUGAUAUAUUGGCGACAGUCGGGUGUCCUCGAGUCGCGUUAUAUUUUUCUGUAUCAUCCAUUUUCACUGAAGUCAUAUGCGUUUGGAUGUAGCUAUUUUUUAUCCCUAGUGAGAGUUUAGGCAUCUAUUAAGGGAUUCUUACAAAUGUGAUGCACAGCUUAAACUUUGGGAUUUUUCAUGCCUAUUGAGGUCUUACAGUUUGUGAUGCCUACUGAGGUCUUACAAUUUUCCAUGCCUAUUGAGGUUUUAUAGUUUGUAGAAUAGAUCUGGUUAUGUCGAGGCUGCCCCUAGGGGUCAUACAAUUUUGGGUUUUCAAGUUGUAUGGCGAUUAACAGCAAUCUCCAAGUCAUCGAGUUUGUUUGAGCUUGAAGACAGUUUCUCGUGAGCUUAGAGUUACAUUCCAAGGGUUUGAUGAGCCUGGAAUUCUGACCCUGAGGUCAUGCAAGUGGUCGUAUCGCUGAUGCUGAGUCUCCGAGUAUAUCAGGUCUCCUUUAAAGGAGUAGUAUUUGCUGGGAAUAUGUCAGAACCUUCCAUAAAUAAGAAAUGUCGAAAGGGUAUUCUUCAUUGCAUAUAUGUGUAAAUAUAUAUAUUCCCAUUGUCAUGUGUUUGGCCUGCAAUGGUACAACUACUCUUAUUAUCUGAUCCAUUCACAUGAUUCCAAUUUUGGAACUUUGCUUGCCAAUUUUUGGCCCUCCCCAGGUGAUGGUGCCCUUAAGAGGAUGUCACCAUACGUCGUUUGACUGUUAAAGUAAGGAUUACGACCUCGUCGAAUCCCUUUUUUAGGGGUACGUUGCUCUGCUAAUAAUCUUGUUAUAGGGACCUUUAGACCAAAAAAUCCCGGUCGAGGAGAGAGAGCUUAGUGGGUCCUGCAGAGGCCUCAAAGCUUCGAGUGGAAUUGAAUUUUUGAAUUCCUUGGCUGACUAUCUUCAUGUAGGUUAGUAAAAGAGAGUAACAGACAAAGGAGCAGAGUAGUUCUUCCUUGCUGCAGGGUGUGUAGGUGAUUAUUUUCAAGGUCAGGCGUAUUCCUACAAUUUCAAGGAACAUGCCCUAAUGAAACCUUCUGCCGCGUUCAACCAGGCUUGGUCCAAAGAUAUGGUUCUGCAUACCAUUUAAUCCCUUCGAGGGGCGGAUGCAUUAAUGAUGGCGACUUGUCAUAUGGUAAGGGAUUUUCUCCCAUUGCGUGUAGCUUUUUGUUAAAUGUAAUACUCCCACCUUAAUCCGGGAGUUUCACCUUUUUGGAGAAGUGGGAUAGAAACUGUCUCUGGGCGGUGGAGCCAUUGUCGUCCAAAAUGAAACAUUCGCGCUUUGCGGGCUCGGCGUUUCAGUCUGAGCUUAGGUGAGUUGCAUAGAAGGAGCGACCGUCCUUAUUGUUGUAGCGAUCGGUGGUUGGUACGUACUAAAGCUUCAAGGUGUGGGAGUGAUUUUUUUUUGUAAGUCCGAACUGCCUUAUUGGCUUUGGCCUGAAGCUGUUGGUAUAGUUGGUCGAAACGCCUGCAUUCAUGAACAGAUGUUUUACUUAGAAUAGGUUAAAUGAGGGAGGGGGUUAACAACACGGAAAUACAAGGCCGAGGAGAUGCUAAGUGUCCCUUUCCCUAGAUGUAAGGGAAUCCUUUGGGUAUAUUUCGCGAACCCGCCUUUUCCUGACAAUGAGUAAUUUUUCUCUACAUUUUACAGAUCUUCGAAGGGUGCCGCCGCCCUUCUAGUGUCGUGGCAGUACGUUGUGGCUUGUCAGCUUCCUUUUUCCCAUAUACUUCCUCCCUUGGAGCUGGACUCGAUCUUGACUUGUUGAUGAUACUUGGUGGCAAGCUCUAUUUAAUAGCAUGGUUGUUCUUCUUUUGGGCUGGUCACCCCACGUGCCUUGUGGUUCUUGCGCCGUGCAAUAUUUCUCUUGGAGAAGUCUUGGUGGAAUGGGUUUGAGCCACGUGGCGUUUCCAGAUUCUCUUAUGGUGAUCACGAUGUUUGGUAAAACAACGUUGAAAUCGCACCUGGCUGGGCGGGAUUUCCCUACCAGCUCUGUCUUGUUGAAUCUAGUCCCAUCGCAGGUUCCUCGAGGAGGCUAUCCUCGGGCCAUCCCCCUGCUGUUUCAAUGUAGGUUUCUUUUCAAGUCAUUCAUUCUAUUCGUCGCGCAUGGAUGAUACCUCCAUCUACUUUGUAUCAGCUACUCUAUUGGGGGUCUGCUUGGAUAUACCGAACUCGAGGAGGUUCCUGGAAGGCUGUCUGUGGCCCCGAUUAAGGACUGAUGCCUUGUGUGGGCGUCCAACCAGAUGAAGAUGGGCUCGAACCUAUUUUCUCUUGUGUCACUGCCUCUACACAAGCGUGCGCAAGCGGUGGUGCGCCCGUAGGGAUGCAAGGUCCUGUCGCACCUUGGGAGUUUUGGCGUUUCGGGAUUUAACGAAGCGAGUUCCGGGACUAUUUCCUCUAGACUCAGUUGCUGUAGGAGCUUCCACGAACCUGAUUAGAUCUUUUUAAAUACCUACCAAGCAUCUUUGCUGCGGCAGGGUUAGUUAUCAACCCAUCGUUACCUAUUUUCUCGGGUACUUGCUCAUCAUUAGGGGUGUCUCUUUUGUUAUUGUGUUAGGGGGCCUCGUUGGCUUGCAACUCAGCGAUAGCCAACUGUCGUGCUUGAAAAAUUUCCAAAUAACACGAACACUAAAUUUAUGUUCUACCUGAGCUGGGGGGUUUUGUGCUUCCUGUUGGUCACUGUGGCGUAUGCUCCUGCCGGCGUGAGAAAUUUUGCUGACUUGUUGAGAGUCCUAUGAAUCUGCGUCCACUAGGAUUGAUCCGAGAGUGAUAUUAGGCUUACGCGGAGAUGCUCUGGCGGCUCGGAUAGCCAUGCCAUUUUCCCAAUGAUUUUCGAGGUUGUUCGGUCUCAACUCUGUUUAUCGAGCCAGACAUUUUUGCUUUAAAUCAAAGUAUCUUAGAAAAGAAAAGAUGUGAAAGAUGAUAUGCGUUUGUGUGAUGAAACCAUAAAAAAUUAAUCACUAUUAUUUUUGCCACACGGUAGGUGCUAAACUGUUUACCGUGAAAAUGGUAACAAUAAUUAAAUUUGUAAAUGACACUCUAAAAAUACGUGAUCUAUUCUCGAGCUAGUGGUUAAAGCAGUUAUUCCUAAGAACGCGAAGUGUAAUGGUAAAAUGCGAGCUAAUACGAGGCAGUAUUCUUGCAUCCAUGGCUUGUUUCCCGAGCACGUGGGUAAUCGAUGGAACCUCACGGUCAGCAUUUGUAUCAAUCUCGGGCUAUUGGCGAUAGCCGGGGAUGGGAUAAUAGUUAGAGGUAUGAUUAAACAACGUACUAUACUGCCAAUAUUAGAUGAUACAGAGAAUAACAUGUAAGAAAAUAAUGAAUAUGAAGGAGGUCUCGAGCCUGUGGCGAUGAACCAUUUAUAAGUAAAGAGAGAGAGAGAGAGAGAGAUUAUUGCACUUGUGGAGAAAAUAGAGCAACAUAAGCCAUUUACAAGAUGGUAUGGGUUCCUCAUAUAUAAUAGAGGGAACCCGGUGUGGUACAAAGUGCAUUAAAUAUAAAGAUACAUGGAUGGGACAGCUAGAUAAGACACCGGGACCUAAUAUUCUAACUGCCUGCCUCGGAAGUCCCUCGUUUUCGUAAACUUUGCUGGGGCCGCAGAAAGAUCCUUUAGCCUUGGAGCCACAGCAGGAUCGCGAAUGAUCCUCAAUAUAAGGAGCCCGAUCACGAUCCCACAACCUCGAGGUGUUGUCACGACAUUCAGAAUAUACCUUAAUGGCGGGAGAUGGAUUCCCCCGAUUUUGCCAUACGCGCAACUCAUGCUGAAUGGCUAUCAAGAACCCUGAUGUGAACUGAGUAACUCUAUAUGAAAUAAAGGAAACUAGAAUACUAUGCAGACGAACAAUCUCCCGGAUAUAAAUCUCCGGCAACCGCUCCAAAGAAUAAGUAGUACGCAUAGGAAUGAAAUGAGCGGACUUGGUCAGCUGAUCAACAAUUACCCAAAUAGCAUCAAACUUCUUUAAAGUCCGCUGAAGUCCAACUACAAUGUCCAUGGCGAUCCGCUCACACUUACACUCCGAAAUCUCUAUAUACUGAAGCAACCUACCCGACCUCUAGUUCAUACUUCACCUGCUAACACUUGAGGCACUGCGCUACAAAUCUAACUAUAUCUUUGUUCAACUGCCUCCACCAAUAGUGUUGCCUCAAAUCCAGAUACUUCUUCGCGGCACCCAGAUGAAUGGAAUAUCACGAAGUGUGGGUCUCCUCAAGAAUCAACUCCCGAGGCCCAUCAACAUUGGGUACCCAAACCCGAACCUCCAUCCUCAAUGCUCCAUCCCGCCUGUGGUCACAUCUCUGGCAUUACCAUGCAGCACCUUAUCCAUAAGGACAAUCAAAUAAGGUCCAUCAUACCACCGCUUCCUGAUACGAUCAAAUAACGAAGACCGAGAAACUGUGCAAGCUAGAACCAGACUAGGCUUCGAAUGAUCCAAUCUCACAAACUGGCUAGUUGGGCCUGAACAUCAAUUGAUGUAGGCCUCCUCGAUGCUGGUAAAUAUGCCAAACUAACCAAACUCUCCGCCCGACGACUCAAUGCCUCAGCCACUAUAUUGGCCUUGCCCGAGUGAUACAGAAUAGUGGUAUCAUAAUCCUUCAGCAACUCCAACCGCCUCCUCAGGCGGAAAUUUAGAUCCUUUUGCUUGAACAAAUGUUGUAAAGUUCGGUGGUCAGUAUAAAUCACACAGAAAAAAAAUGGCGCUAAAUCUUCAAGGCAUGAAAAAUGGUAGCUAACUCAAGGUCAUGAGCAGGGGGUAAUUCUUCUCAUGUAUGUACAACUGUAUGGACGCGUAGACUAUAACCCUACAGCUCUGUAUCAACACCGCUUCGAGGCCUACCCUUGAGGCAUCACAAUAGACCGUAUAAGACCUUGUAGGCAAUAUCAACACUGGUGUCGUAGUCAAAGUUGUCUUGAGCUUCUGAAAGAUCGCCUCACACUCUUCCGUCCAAUGAAAUGGAGCAUCAUUCUGGGUCAACCUGGUGAUAGGGGAUGCAAUCGAUUAAAGUCCCUCCACAAAAUAACGGUAGUAGCAAACCAAGAAAAAUAUGGAUCUCUACAGCCUAGAAUGGUCUGGGCCAACUCUGCACUGCCUCUACCUUCUUCGGAUCUACCCGAAUACCCUUACUUGAUACCACGUGGCCCAAGAAUGCCAUGUAUUCCAACCAAAACGCCUAUUUUGAGAACUUCUCAUAUAACUUCUUUUCACUCAGAGUCUGAAGAACUCUCCUCAGAUGCUGCUCAUGCUCUUCCCGACUCUGGGAAUACACCAGAAUGUCAUCAAUAAAGACAAUGACAAAAGAGUUAAGAUAUGGCUGGAAUACAUUGUGCAUCAAAAGCAUAAAAGCUGUAGCACCAUUGGUCAGCCCAAAUGACAUAAAUAAUGACUAUAUCAAGUCCUAAAAGAAGUCUUCAGGAUAUCUGGCUCCCGAAUCUUCAUUUGAUGGUAACCUGAGCACAAGUCAAUCAUAAAACAUAAAUGUGCGCCCUGAAGAUGGUCAAAUAGAUCAUCAAUACAAGGCAAAGGAUAACAGUUCUUCACUGUAGCCUUGUUUAGCUGGCAGUAUUCAGUACACACACGUAUAGAACUAUUUUUUUUCUUCAUAAACAAGACACCACCAACCCAAGUUGAUACACUUGGCCAAAUAAAACCCUUAUCAAGAAAUUCAUGUAACUGAUCCUUCAACUCAGGAGGAGCCAUACGAUAUGGAAGGAUAGAAUUGAGCUGAGUGUCUUGAAAUAGAUCAAUGCCAAAAUGAAUAUCUCUAUUUGGCGGCAUGCCUGGAAGAUCAUCUGGAAAUACAUCGAAAAAAUCCCGUACUACUGGGACUAAAUCAACUGAGGGAGUAUCAAAACUCACAUCUCUCACAUAAGCCAAAUACGUGUCACACCCUUCUUCAACCAUACAUCGAGCCAUAAGGAAAUAAAUAACUCUACUGGGAGUGUGAUCUAAAGUACCCCUCAACUCAAUAUGCGGUACACCCGGUAUAGCCAGCGUCAUGGUUUUGGCAUAACAAUCAAGAAUAACAAUGGGUCAAAAACAAGUCCUUGGCAAAGAGAAUAUCAAAAUCAACCAUGAUGAGUAACAAUAAGUCGACUGUGGUCUCAAAACCAUGAAGAGUAACUAAAUAUGAUUGAUAAAUGUCGUGCACAAUAAGAGAAUCUCUCACAUGAGUAGACACAUAAACAGGAAAACUCAAUGAAUCUCCGGGUACACCCAAUCAUGGAGAAAACAAGAAGACAUAUAAGAAUAAGUGGAGCCUGGAUUGAAUAGAAACGGUGCAUCUCUAUGACAAAACAGUAUAAUACCUAUGAUGACAGAAUCAGAUGCAACAACCUCCAUACAGGAAGGAAUGGCGUAGUAUCUAGCAAAGACUCUCACUUUAGGGUGACCUCUACCUCCCCGACCUCCAACUCUAGCUGGAUGGGCAAGUGGUGAAGCAGUUGGAGUGGCAACCAUAGCUUAAGAACUUUACGGGGAACACUAUGGCUGUGAAGUCUGUGAAGGUGCACCUCUCUCAAGAUUGAGGCAAUCUCUCACCAUAUGGCGUGGGUCACCACACUCAAAACAAACUCUAGGAGGACGUAGUGGGUGUAACUAGCUAGGGCUAGGUCGGUUAGACUGACCUCUAAGAGCACCCCACACAGGAAGCGCGCUAGAUACCGUUGGUGCAUAAUAAUGCUCCUAAGAUCUAGGAGGAGCAGGAGCACUGCUGGCUGCAGAAAGACCUUAAUGAACAAAGUGACUCAUAUAACCCCUACCAUGAUAACCUACAGCUAGGGUACGGGCGCAAGAAUAAUUGUCCAACUCUCGAAGCCUCUUGGCCUCCCUCUCCUUUCUUUCCCUAAAAUGUAUACCCGCAAACCUUCUAAUAUACUCACCAGCUGCAAAAAGGGAAUGUCCAUCUCAUAUAUCCCCUACCAUGAUAACCAACAGCUAGGGUACGAGCGCAGCAAUAAUUUUCCGACUCUCGAGGCCUCUUGGCCUCCCUCUCCUCUCUCUCCCUAGAAUGUAUACCCGCAAACCUCCUAGAAUACUCACCACCUACAAAUACGGAAUGUCCAUCUCCAACUAAUGAGCCAUGCUAGACUUGAUGCUGGGAAUAAGUCCCUCAAUAAACCUUGCGAACCCUCUCGCGAACAGUACAAACCAAGGUUGGUGCAUGCCUAGCUAAACGAGUGUAACAAACGGCAUACUCUUAUAUAGUCAUAGCACCCUGACACAAAUGUUCAAACUCUGUGCGCCAUGCAUUCCUGAGACUUUGAGGAAUAUACUUUCCUAGGUACAAAUCUAAGAACUGGCUCCAAGUCAGUGAAAUAGUCUCGUCUGGACUGUCUAACUCAUAGGUGCGCCACCACUCAUAGCCGGCUCCCCGAAGCUAGAAAGUGGUGAAGGAAAUCCUGCUCGAUCCUGAUAUACCCAUAGUGUGAUGAAUACAUUAGCACUCCUCGAGAAAUACCAAGGCAUUGUCUGAUGCUAGUCCAAUGAAUACCAUAGGAUCAUACUUCUUGAACCUCUCAAGUCUCCGCUGCUCAUCCUCUAAAGCAGUUGCGCUGUCCUCGUGCUGAAUUGGCACUGUAUGCGGUAUGAGAAUGAUCUCUAGGACCUGAUCAGCAUGUGUCACACCCCUAUUUUUUCCCUCUUAUUCAAUCGUGAGCUAGGGUUUAUGACAUAUAUGGACAACUCAUUCUUUUUGGAAACUGGGUUUGCAUUUUUUGAAUAGUCACAACCUAAUGAUUUAAGGUUCAUUAGGACACCUAUAGGGCACUCUUCGAAGCUCUUUUGAUAACUAGAGAUAGGGUAAGGACUUGAAAUUAUCCUAAGGGGAAGGUGUUAGACACCCCUCAAGAUCCACUACUAUGGUUUCUCGCCUGACAGUCCUUGUGAAUUUGUGUAAUUUUAGCAAAUGGACAAGUAUAGGCUCAAAUUGUAUGGGAUUUAAAUUUAAACACAUAAGAGUUUGAAAGAACAAGUAGAAGACGAGUUUUGAAAAGAAGUUUGCUAAUAAAAGGGUUAAGGAGGUCUUUGGUUUAUAUUUUAUAUGGAUCAAAGUUUCCUAAGGGCCUCAAAUGGGCCUCGGGCGGUGCUCACUCCUAAGUUCACUUAGCUAGAUGGAGAUGAGUGCAGUGUGGAAAGGAAAUCCCUUAUGUGUCCAAGUUAAGAGGGAGCUCAUGGGUCGCAAAGCAAGGCUCACAAAAGAGGGGCAGAACCUAACUCUAAGAGUAUAGUGGAAGUGCAGAAGCAAAGAUUUAUUUAUGACUGGAUAUAAAAUAGUAAGGAGUAAGGGUAGUUUGGAAAAUAUUAGUAACAAAGCUAAAACGAUACAACAUCACUAAUUGCUUAAAGGGGGUAGGGGUUUGGGAAUUCACUGCAAGUAGCACAUGACACUAGGAGGGGUCAAAUCUGGACAUGCACAGCAAUAAGUGAUGAUGUCAUGCCCAUAAACCAGCUAGAUAAAACACACAUAAAGAGGAUAUGAAUUAUAUGAUCAGAGAGGGUCAGGUUUGCCUCAUGCACAACAAUGUCUAAUGUUGACAUGCCCUCAAACCAACCAAGGAACCCAACGGGAUAUGGGGUUUGGUGUUCAUAAAUGAGUUACAGCGUUCAUGCAUAUGGGAAACAUGUAUGCAGAAAAGGAAUGGGCAAAUUACAAUAUGCUUAAUAAUGCAACUUGAUUAACACACAAACAGAAAUAGGCAAGAGUGAAGGAAAGAAAAACAUGUUGUUGUUGAUGUUGAAAAGUUAAUCAGAACAUACAAGUAAAGAAGCAAAUGCAGAAUGUAAAGUAAGAAAGUUUCCCACAAGCUAGCCUUGGGUUUUAGCCGGCUAGACUAGGCAUCAACACAAGCAAUAACAGAGAAAAAGAGAGAGUUUGAGUGGAGUGUAUGUUUUGAACUCAAGUAGUUCAUGAUUUUGAAAGAAGCGAGGUGCAGGGUAUUUAUAGUUAUUGAAAACGAGUGAAGGAAAAUUAAUAAUAUACAAACAUUGAAACAAUCAUAACUAAGAAUAAAUUACACAAGUGAUUCCCUUUAAUUAAGGAAUAAUUGUUUAACGAUAUUGAUAGAUUCAAAAAUAAGGAAAGAAAAUCAAUUUGUAAGCAGACUGGUUGUACCAUAAAAGGAGUGCUAAAAGCAAUAAGUAGGCAAUCAAGUCUAAGUACAGAGACAUGCUUAUUUUGGGAAACAAAUCAGUAAGGUAAAUAUUACAGCAAAGCAAAAGAGUUAAUCAACUUCGAACAGGCAAGUGAAAUUAGAGUUCAUAAAAGGAAAGUUUUGAACUCAGUCACAAGAUUGAACACCAAUCAAAGAAGGAACCUAAGCAUAUAAAUAGAGUGAAAUAACACCUGAUAUGCUAGGCCAAACCCAUUGGUAGAAGAAAUAGCAUACAACAAUAGCAUAAGGUUCAGUAGAUAGCAAACAUUGGGAGCAUAAAAAUCAAGUAGGUCAAGUCAAGUUGAAAUAGUGAAGAAAAAAUAGAUUAUCAGAAGCAUGCAAAUGUCUCACAGUAGCAGGUGAGGAAAUUCCCUGAGAGGAUAGGAUUUCAACCAUAGUCGAGUAGAAAGAGAGUAAAAAUCAAAUAAAUCACAUAGAUGGAAGAGAGUCUAAAACAAUAAAUUUUAGUUGAGUGUAUAGAUACCCAUUUUAGACCCAAAGACUUAGGAUUUUCAUUAACAGACGAGUUCAACAUAUAGUAACAAACAAGUCGAGCAAGAAUUUGAACAAACAAGCACGCAUCUAACAAACAUCUUCAAGACUCGAUUGAGACCCAAAAGAAAUUAGUGUUUUCAACACGCUAACUUUGAUAGAAGAAAAACAUAGAAAAAUCAUAAAUAUGUUAAAAUUAUAGAAGAUAUUUGGAAAUAACUUUUAAAACCCCUAAUCGAAACGGAUGUAGAGUUGUUUUGAAAGGGAAGUUAAAGAAACUUCAACAAAAUUCUUAAAAGUUUAAGGUAAACACAUAUCUAUAGAAAAUCUGAAAGAAAGUGAAGAUCUUAGAGAUUGGGUUUUCGUAAAUCCUAUAAAAGGUGAGAAAGGCUUUCAAAGUUACCGAUCUAACUAGGAGAGUCAAGGAUCUGACUCGAACGAUCAUUGUUAGCCAGAGAAAGGUAAAGUAGGAUCCUAGAAGGGCCAUUAACUAAAAUCAAACAAGGCUUGGACCAGACUCCUUCAAGGUUUCGCCUUGAAACCAUAAGAACAAACACAUAGGUGCUAUAGAAGGCUUGUACAAGUCUCAAAUGACCACGGAGGGCCAUGGAUUAGGUAGAUAUCAACGUUGGGUUAAACGGCAGCGGCUAGAGUUUGUAAGAGUCUUAGAGAGAAUUUGAGAGAGAAGAGGAGGUCAAAGGCGGUGGUUGGUUUGAGUUAAAAAUAGUAAGGGGGUCUAGUGGUCGUUGAUCAUUUUGAUCAACAACCUGGAUUGAAUGGGGUAGGUAGGGAUUCGGGUUGGGUCAUUUAAAUUUGGGUUGGGUCGUGUUUUAGUGGUAAUUAGGACAUGGUAAUUGGGUUCAAAUUGGGGUAGAAUUAGGUUUUAAUUGAAAUGAAAUCUGGCUAGAUUUUAAAUAGCCAUUUUUCUAUUUAUUUUAUAAAAAAUAGUAAUUUAAAUUCCGGAAAUAAAUUUAAAGCACUAAUAUAAUUUUUAACACAUAAUUAUCAAUUUAAAAAUUCUGGCCUUAAUUUUUAUAAAUACAAACACAAUUAAAUCUUAUAAAGGGCUAAUAUUGCAAUUAUAAGCCAUUUUAAUUAAAAGAUUCUAAAUAAAUUUUUAAAAAUAUUCAAAAAAACAUUUCUUAGCUAUAAUUUGGUAUAAAUAUGAUAAUUCAAUAAAUUAAUUACUAAAAUGGCAAUUUUGAGAAUUAUUAUUAUUUUUUUAUAGGGAAAUAAGUGAAGGAAUAGUAAUAAGAUAAAAACAUGGAAACAAUCAUAAAUCAGAAUCAAUUACACAAGUGAUUCCCUUAAUUUAGGAAUCAUUGCUUAACGAUAGUGACAAAUUUAAAUAUAAGGAAAGAAAAUCAUAAGAAGAUUGGUUGUUACCACAAAAGGAGUGGUAAAACCAUUAAGUAAGCAAUCAAGUAUAUGUACAGAGACAUGCUUAUUUUGGGAAAGAAAUCAGUAAGGCAAAUAUUACAGUAAAGGGAAAACGUCAAUCAACUUCGAACAAGUGAGUGAAAUUAUGGUUUAUAAAAGGAAAUUUUGAACCCUUUCACAAGAUUGAAGACCAAUCAAAGAAGCAACCUCACCAUACAAAUAGAGUGAAAUAACACCAGACAUGCUAGGCAAAACCCAUUGGAGAAGAAAUAGCAUAUAACAGUAGCAUAAGGUUCAGUAGAUAGCAAAUAAUCAAGUAGGUCUAGUCAAAUUAAAUCAAUAGUGAAGAAGAAAAUAGAGUAUUAGAAGCAUGCAAAUGUCUCACAGUAGCAGGUGAGGAAAUCCCUUGAGAGGUUAGGGUUUCAACCAUAGUCGAGUUGAAAGAGAGUAACAAUCAGAUAAGUCACAUAGAGAGUCUGAAAAAACUUUGAGUCGAAUGUUCAGACACCCAUUUUAAAUCCAAAAAGUUAGGGCUUUCAAUAACAAAUGGUAAAGAGACAAGUCAAGCAAGAAUUUGAACAAACAAACACACAUCUAACAAACAUCGUCAGGACUCGAUUGAGACCCAAACUAAAUUAGGGUUUUCAACACGCUAACUCAGAUAGAAGAACAAUACGAGCAAAACAUAGAAAAAUCAUAAAUAGGUUAAAAUUAGAGAAUAUAUUUUGAAUUAACUAACAAGAAAAACCCUAAUCGAAAAAGAUGCAGAGUUGUUUCGAAAGUAAAGUUAAAGAAACUUCAAGAAAAUGUUUAAAAGAUUAACGUAAAUAGAUAUUUAAAUAAGAUCUAAAAUAAAGCGAAAGAUAUUAGAGAUUGGGGUUUCUAUAAUCCCAGAAAUGGUGAGAAAGGCUUCAAAAGUUAUCGAUUUAACAAGGUGAGUCAAGGAUCAGACUCGAACGGCCGUGGCUAGCCGGAAGAAGGUCAAGGAUGACCGGAUAAGGGACAUGAGUUGAAUUCCAACAAGGACUAGACCAGACUACUUCAAGGUAUGGCCUUGAAGACAUAACAACGAACACAUAGGAUCCAUAGAAGGCUGGUACAGGUCUCAAAUGACCAUUGAGGGGCAUGAUUAUGUAGAUAUCAAGGUAGGGUGAGAGGGCGGCGGCUACGGUUUGUAUGAGUUUUAGAGAGAAUUUGAGAGAGAAUAGGAGUUCAAAGGGGGCAGUAGGGGAGAAAUGAGGUGGGUUUAGGGGUAGGUUUGGGUUAAAAAUGGUAAGAGGUCUGGUGGUCGUUGAUCAUUUUGAUCAACGACCUUGAUUGAAUAGGGUAAGUAGGGAUCAAGGUUGGGUAAUUUAAAUUUGGGGUUGGGGAUGGGGUUUAAAUGGGAAUUGGGCAAGGGUAAUUGGGUUCAAAUUGGGAUAGAAUUAGGCUACAAUUGAAAUAAAAUAUGGCUAGAUUUUAAAUAGCUGUUUUCCCUAUUUUAUAUAAAUUUGUAAAUGAAUUUUUGGAAAAAUAUUGACAGUAAUAAAUUGAUUUGUAACACAUAAUUAUCAACUUAAAAAUACUAGACUUAAUGUUUACAAAUAUAAAUGCAAUUAAAUCUUUAAAAGGGGCUAAUAUUACAAUUAUAUGUAAUUUUGUUUUAAAAAAUAUAAAAUAAAUUUGUAAAAAUAUCCAAAUCUUGUUUUAUAUAUAUUUUGGUUUAAGUAUGAGAAUCCAAUAAAUGAAUCACCAAAAUGACAAUAUUUGAAAUUAUUAUUAUGUUUUUACGAAUAAAAUAGGGGAAUAAAUUGGUUUAAAAAAAACUUUAAAAAUUAUGAAAAAAUAAUAAAAUACUUGGGCAUACUUAAAUAUUUAUUCAUAUGAUAUUUUGAAAGUAUUUUUCAUACUAAAAAUAUAUAGGAAAAAAUUGGAUAUCAACAACAUGCACUCGCUGUUCAGGAGUGCGGACGGUAGGAGUCUAUGCUCCUCCCCCGACCUGGGAUGUGGCUGUAGCAAGGGGAAGCAACCCUGCCUGAGCCAAGGUGGUGUACAUGCUCAUGAACUGUACCAGAGUCUCCUAAAGAGCUAGAAUAGUAGUAGUUGUAGACUUGUCAGGUGCCUGGACUCUGGCUGGAUCUGCUAGUGGUACCAUAAGGCAGCUCGUGCAUGUGCUCUUGCUGCACUGCAUGCGCGUCCUCGGCCUCUACCCCGACCCCGGCCUCUGACGGCUACAAUAGGCGGCUCUGGUUUCUGAUCAUCUCGAGUAGUACGUGUCUUCACCAUCUGUAAGAGAAUAGAAGAUAGAAAUUUAGAAUUGUGAUGUCAAAAUAUCGCACGACAAGGAAAUCAAAUGAAGUGAAAAUUUUCCUAAUAGUUACAUAGCCUCUCGUAGAAAAGAAUGGACGUCUUCGUACAAAUCCGCGAGACUCUAAUAAACCUCCGUAUGCUCCAUGACUCAUAUGAACCUAGAGCGUUGAUACCAUCUUGUCACAUCCCGUUUCGCCCUCUGUGAACCACCGUGGCGGCACUAUUGCUCCCAAAUGCACAGGCAAGUAUAUGCGGUCGUCAAGUAAUAAAGUGACUAACAGUUGGAUGUCGAUCCCACGAGGACUUGUGAUUAACUAUCGACUAAAUUAGACUAUCCUAAUUAUCUAAACAAGAAUUAAACCUAUAAGUAUUUGAUUCUAAACUAAUUAAAAUAAAAAGAACAAAUAGGGAACUCGGGACAAAAGAAUAGAAGAUUUUUAUGUUAUCAAUGAGAUGAAAACGAUCUAGGGUUAUGGGCUAUCUAAAAAUCAUAUUGUAUUCUUCAAAUGAAUUAACUAACUAAUUUAUCUAGCUUAUUGGUUGACAGGGUUAAUAUUCCUCUUAAGAAUCUGUUGAGUUCUUUCUCGCCUAUUUAAGCAAACCUAACACCUAUAUGGCUAUGGAAAUAGCAUCAACGAGAACACAUUUGUAAUUCCUGUAAAUUAACCAAGCAACGUAAUUAGGUAUAUGUCUAUCCUAACCACGAAUCCGUUCCCCGAUGCCGAGGUUCAAGAACUUGCUGAACUCAAUUCUAUAUGCAAUCUAGAAUUCCCACUUUUGAGUUCAACUCUAGAUUCAGAUAUAGUAUUCAAUUGGUGAUCAAGCAAUCAAAAAAUUAUAGAUUUUAUAAAUCACUAAAUCAAAAUCACUAUCCAAAUAACAAUAGUCAUGAAAGAACCACAACCCUAAAACGUGAAGUUUAGCUCCACAAAAACAUGGUAGAAAAACAACAAAUCAUACAUAGAAACAUAAAAAACUAAGUUUGGUGGAAGAAAAGAUGAAACCCGAUGAAUUCUAGCCUCCACGGAGUGUCUAUGCUUGUGUUUUCCUCUCAAAAACAUCCUCUUCUCAUAAAAUACAUUUUUUGUGUAUAUAUACCAAGUAGGGUUGGGCCCAAAUAAUUAUGCCUUCUCCAAUGUGAUAAAGGAGAUUCUUUGCAGGUUUGACUAGCGCGGUAGCGCAGCUGGGCGCGCUAGUUGGAUGACAUUAUGUCCUGGGCGCGUAAAAACUAGUACGAUCUUGUAUCUGGGUGCGUUUCAUUAUUUUCUGCUUGGAAUUUGGGAAACGUAAAACAUGAAAUUUAUAGCCCUUUGAGUUAGCUUUCUAACCAUACAUUAUGGAGCUAAAAUGGAGUUCUGAGCAAAACAUUAUGUGUAUUUUACUAGACAGUGCGCAAUAUGCCUUCUCAAUUCUUCGUUUGCUCUAACUAUCAUCUAUUGACCCCCAAAGAUUAUCCCGGAUUAAUUCCUUGAGCUUUUACUCAGAUUUCAAAUCUCCAAAUAUCUUGAAUUCAUUCCAUAAUAUCUAUAUAGCUCGGAAACACUUCCACAAGGCAUAAAACAUACAGUUAGUGCAAGACAUUAGCUAUUAAAGCUCAAACUCAAUCAAAGUGCAGUAAAUUUGAGAAUAAUAAGUGACUAAGUAUAGCCCAUCAUCAACACCCUACACUUCAAUCAUUGCUCGUCCUCAAGCAAUCAAACUACAAUUUUUAUAGACACAACAUUGUUAUACAAUUCUCCUAACUCAUGACACCAAGAUUAUUUAAAAUAGACUAAGCACAAAAGUGUAACGUCUUCACCUCAAGAUUUACCACGCAUUAUUCUCAACUCACCCACUUUCUCUAACAUAGAGUUCAUUAACAUUACCUUUACUUCAUGAAUCAAGUGCCCUCACACAACAAAAGAGAGUGGUUUCACACAAUAAAAUUUAAGAACACUUACGAACUCAAGAUUGAAAAAACUCACUCCCUCUCAGAAAUAACAUUCACAAUCCACAAAAGAAGUAGCAUAAGCUUACACGUACUACUCAGCUAAUCGAGCUCAUUCAUUCUAGGAUCAAUUAGGACUUUAUUUGGUUAUAAUGUAGGCUACAGGACGGGUAGGAUACGUUUAGAUAUAACACUGACUACACCUCCCUAAGCACUUUAAUAUAUAUAAAUUCUAACAUUUAAAUCACAUUCUUAUGUCGAACCAAAAAUCCACCUUCACAUCAAUGUAAAUUACCUCAUUCUUCUUUAAGCACACUUACAUCAAGAGCCACCGCUUUUUUUUUCACAAUAAUCCAACUAUUUUCUUUUUAUUUUUCAAUUCAAGUGGCUCUUACAUUUUUAAAGAAGUGCACUUUUCUCCGUAUUCAAUUAGUUCCACUCAAAAGCCAAACCAACCAUCCCACACUUUAACUUUUACAAAGUUCAUAACAAUUCAAGUACUCAUGAGGUUACAUGGUUCAAAUAGAUGGUUAAUUCAAACAAAUGGGUAAGUAUUGUAAUGUGGUUGCCAAAAAACAAGAUUACAAUCUCAAAGGGGUUAACUACGAUACAUAACAAUUAUGUGGGUAAACUAUACAUAUCUGGCUCAACAAAGAAAUGCCUAUAUCACUUCCUACACUGAAUAAAACUACUAUAUUGAUAUGCCAAACCAGCUACCCCACACUUUAAUUUUUACAAAGUUCAUAACAAUUCAAGUGCUCAUGAGAGGUGAAAAUAUUUAAACAGAUUGUUAAUUCAAACAAAUGGGUAAGGCUUGUAAUGUGGUUGCCAAAGAAUAAGGAUUAUAGGCUCAAAGAGGUUAACUACAAUACAGAAUAAUUAGGCGGGUAACAUAUACAUAUCUGGCUUAACAAGAAAUGCCUAUAUCACUUCCAAGACUGAACAAAACUACUAUUUCACUUUGCAAGCACACAGUGCAAGUUCUAGACAUCAAAUGAAAUGCACUGAAUAAUGCAAAACAUUACACACAUAGCACAUAACUCACUCGGGAUUAGAUUCAUAGACACUCUAGUCAAAGCAGUUAAGCAAAGUUAAGAUAAUACAAUUUAAGGUACUUCUACAAGAGUCAAAAACUGAGCCUAAGCGUCAUAACCAAAGUACUCACUAUUAUCAAGGCAUAUACAAGUCAAGAGAUAUUUCUUCAAUUCAAAGAACACAACCAUGGCUCCUACUCCCAAAAAAAAUAACUACACCCAGUUCAAAUAAAAUCCUUGAAAAAGAAUCGUGGCCCAAAGAAAAACCAAGGGGGGUUGCAACACUACCUAAAAAAAUAAAAAAAAA
RNAcentral lists this long non-coding RNA (59974 nucleotides) under Nicotiana benthamiana. RNAcentral describes it as "long non-coding RNA (NBEN_LNC030981)". The record is from RNAcentral. Lineage: Eukaryota; Viridiplantae; Streptophyta; Magnoliopsida; Solanales; Solanaceae.